RNAcentral lists this long non-coding RNA (80710 nucleotides) under Ananas comosus (pineapple). Its description in RNAcentral is "long non-coding RNA (ACOM_LNC027062)". The record is from RNAcentral. Lineage: Eukaryota; Viridiplantae; Streptophyta; Magnoliopsida; Poales; Bromeliaceae.
AUUGGCUUUAAAAAUUAAAAAUAUAUAUAUAAAUUUACUCUUAUUCCCAUUAUUUAAAUCUAAUCAUUCAAACGUUAUCUUUUUAUUCUUGAAAAUAAUUCAAAAAUAAUUCAAUUCUCAUCCAAACGUAAAGUUGAUCUAAUUCCUAUAAACUCUGACAUUGUUCAUGUAUCAGGAAUAAGCAAGAAAAACUUAUUUCUAAACUAAACGAUACUUUAAGUUUUGGAAACCUCCCCCCCAAUCUGUUUCAUACUUUCUCACUUUAGUACCCUAUAGUUUAAAAUAUAUCAAGUUAGCCCCCGUACUUUCUCACUUUAGUACCCUGUGGUUUAAAGUGUAUCAAGUUAAUACCCUGUGGUUUCAUUUUUAUCUUGUGAAUAUUUGAUAAACCUAGGUAGGGUAUCGGAAGUUUUUUGUAUAUAAUUUAACGAAAUAUUAACACAGGGGCCGACGAAAAGAGAAAAAUGAAGCCACAGAGUGCUAAAUUGAUGCACUUUAAACCACAAGGUACUAAAUUGAUACACUUUAAACUACAGAGUAUUAAAAUGAAAAAGUGCGAAACCACAUGGGUGGUAUUUGAAGUUUUCCCUUAAAAUAUUAUAUGGAGUUCAAUUUAAUAAAAUCUCACUAAUGAUAUUUGCUUUAAAAGAAAAAAAAGGUGAAAAUAACAUAGAGUAGUGAAAAAGAGACAUGCAAGAAACAAACCAUCCAUAAUUCCAUAUUUACAAUGGGAAAUAGUAGUAGUAGUAGUACACUUUAAUAAAAGAAGAGUAAAGAUCUUUACUCUUUAUACUAGGAUUUAAUUUUUUUUUAAAAAAAUUAGUAUUAAAAAAAUAAUUUGAUAAGAUAAUGACCAAAUAUGCCUUCUUAGAUAAUAAAAAAAGUACAAAAUUUAUAUAUCCUUUCUUCUGUGCAAACUUAGGUUACCCCUUGUUGUUUUGCGCACUUUUAAUUAACCAAAGGGCUUUUUUUGCAAAUAGCCCCAUAAAAAAUUUUAUUUUCGAAAAUAGCCCUAUGUAAAAAUUAUUUGCAAAAAUGGCCCUGACCCCGCCCCGUCAGCGCCACGUCAGCGCCACGCGGGCGGGGCUGGGCCAAUUGUAUAAGUUGAACACGGUGAACCAUUCACCGUGUUCAAUACAAGAUUUUUGUAUUGGACACGGUGAAUGGUUCACCGUGUCCAAUACAAAUACAUCCGACUUAGCCAAAAAUAGCUAAGUUGCGGGUGUUUGUAUUGGACACGGUGAACCAUUCACCGUGUCCAAUUAUUUGUAUUGGACACGGUGAUUCACCGUGUCCAAUACAAAUAUAUCCCACUUAGCCAUUUUGUAUUGGACACGGUGAACCAUUCACCGUGUCCAAUACAAAAAUUUUGUAUUGAACACGGUGAAUGGUUCACCGUGUUCAAUAUAAACACUUGGCCCAGCCCCGCCCGCGUGGCGCUGACGUGGCGCUGACGGGGCGGGGCCAGAACCAUUUUUACAAAUAAUUUUUACACAGGGCCAAUUUUAAAAAAAAAAAUUGUCAGGGGGCUAUUUGCAAAAAAACCCCUUAACCAAACUAUAUAAUUUUAAAAAAUAUAUAUUUAACUAUUCUAUAAUCUAAUUUUUAUUUUACUAUAAUAGUAAGAAAUUAAGAAUCCAUUAUUAUCUCUAUUUCUAUUACAUUAAAGGAGGGUUGGGAGAACCUUAGGUUGACACCGGUCCCCCAACCCUCCACUUCAUUCUCUCUCUCCAAACACACACAUAUAAAUAUAUAUAUAUAAUUAAUUUUAUUAAUAAAUUGUAUAAUAGCUUAUUAGUAAUUAAAUUUUGAUAUAAAAAUUUAAAGUUUUGAUACUUUCAAAUUUUAAAAUUUUAAAAUUUUAAAUUCUAAAUUUUAAUUUUAACUUAUAAUAUUCAUAAUUUUAAUUUUAAAUUCCAAAUUAUAAUAAUUAAUUAAAUUAUAAUAUAAUUAAUUAAUUUUAUUAAUAAUACGCAUAAUAAAUCACGUAAUAAAAUCUAAUCUGAUAGAUACAAUUUAAAUCACGUAAAAUAUCGUUGUAUAAAAAAAAUAUAAUAUUUAAAUUUUAGGAGUAAAAUUUUAGAAAUAUAGUGUAUUUCUGUGUAUAUAUAAUUAAUUUUAUUAAACAAUUUCAUUUACAAUUUUAUUUUCCUUCUAUUUAUUGAUUUUUUAAAAUUAUUUUGAUAGAUUUAUCUCAAAUCCUUUUCAUAUGUAUCUUUAUAAAAUAAAUUAUUAUAUAAAUUUACUUUGCGCAUAUAUCAAUUUUAAUGACUUUUAUUUAAAUAGAUUUAACUACUAAAUUAUUUUUAUAUAAUUUUUGUUUAAUUAAUAAUUAGACUUAUAAAACUAUAUAAAAAUAUUAAAAAAAAUAAAAUUUAUUAUAAAAAAUUUUUAUAUCCGCAGCAUCGCGCGGGUAAUUCACUAGUGCCACAUAAAAAUACGGGCGCCAGGUCAUGCUGUCUAAAAUAUAUAGAACGAUAAAAUAUUAAUUAUAGGAUCACAAAAGAAAAAACUAUUUAUACACUUCGACUUGGGUGUAUAAGUUGCACCCACCUAUUUAAUGAACGAGAGUUACUUACUAGUCAUAUUAAGGCUUAGUUUUGUAUUAAGGCUUAUCUUAUAUUUUUAUAUAAAACAGAGUUGAAAUAAGCAUAUAUAUAGAAAUAUGCUUCUACGUUCUCUAGUGGGACUGUAGAAAAUAUAUCGUAACUGACUCAUCGCGAUAAAAGGAACGCAAUAUUACGUACCAAAACAAACAGAAUAUUUUUUCAUCGUACUUUCUUACCGUAUAUAACGCAAUUAAUCUCCCCACAAUUUCAAACAAAAUCUAAAUGACCAGUGAAAAUACCUUGUCUUUUGAAUAACCGAGGUAUUAGCUAUACAUUCCAAUGAAUGUAUGAUUAGCUUUUUUAAAAAUACAGGAUUGAUAAAGCUAAAAACAAAAAUUCUACUCACAUUCGAAUGUAAAUCUUACACUCUUAUAUUUAAAAAUAUAAAUUUUAUUUAAUUUUAGUAUUAAAAAAAUAAAUGAGUAAAUUUAGAUAGUAGAAAAUUUAGUGCGUAAGAUUUACACUUAUCUCACAGGUGUGUGUGUGUAUAUAUAUAUAUAUAUAGUAGGAAAAACUUCAAAUACCACUAUUGUGGUUUCACAUUUUUUCACUUUAAUACCCUAUAGUUUAAAGUGUAUUAUUUUAGUACCCUAUGAUUUCAUUUUUCUAUUUCCGCUGGCACAUCGGUUAACUAUCCAUUAAAUCAUAUACAAAAAAAACUCUCUAUCUAUGAUUUAUUGAAUAUUCACUUUAAUACACUGUGAUUUAUCGAAUUUUUACCUAUAGUUUUAAUUUUAUUAUUGAUUUAACGGAGUAGAUGACGGAAAGAGAAAAAUAAAAUCACAGAAUGCUAAAAUAAGAAAGCCCGAAACUAUACAAUGGUAUUUGAAAUUUUUUAUAUAUAGUACUAGUGAAAUCAUCUCAUCUAUUAGAUUGAUAGGGUGUAUCUUAUACAUCUCAAUUUGGAUGUACAAAUAGCAUUUCGGCUUAAAAAGGCAAGAGGAGCAAAAUUAAAGUAUACCCAAAAAUUUAUUAAAAAUCUCUAUAAAAUCUACUACGUGAUAGCCAUUUCACAUCAUCUAUGCCCAGUCGAAUACAUCUAUUCUUUUGAAUAACAAAAAUAUACUACAAUUGUACUUUCAUUGAAAACUUCACGUCAUCAAUGUAUCUGCUAUAGUUUUUAGCAGUAAUUUCGUACAAGUUCUGCAAAUAUAAUAAAUUAUAAAUAUAUUUCAAUAAAAUUUAACUUUUAUAUGUUAUCUUUAUAAAAAUUUUAAUAUUUUUAAAUAUGCUCUCUGAUUUGUUACUGUUAAAGUACUAUUUAUUUUAUAAGUGAACUGACCUUAUUAUCAUCAUAAAUAUGUCCCUUCAAAAAUCUUAACACUUAAUUGAAAAGGAAUAAAAAGAUCAAUUCACCUCAUUAACUAACUAGGGUUAAAUAUUUUACGUAUUAUUAACUAUUUUUUUCUCACGGAUCUUAACGGCAGGAAUAAAAAUAUCAAGAUUUUUACAAAAAUAAUAUAUGAAAGUUGAACUUUAUAAAAAAUAUAUUUUAUAAUUUACACUAUAUUUUAAGGAGCCGUAUGAAAUUGGCUCUUUUUUUUUCUUCUCUCUCCUCUUUUUUUUACCCCUCUUCUUCUCUCUUCUUCUCUUUAUUUUCCUUGACCGCAAUGGAGACCUCCCGCGGCAACGGCGGCGCGCUUCCGGGGCCUUCCUCUGCCGCGGCGGACCGGCGCCUCCACCGCCGUCGCCGUCUCCGUCGGCGCAGCGGCGACGGCGUUCUUCGGCGGCCUUCCGCGGCGGCGGCGGCUGCUGCAGCUGGUGAGCGAGGGUUCUGAGCUUGGGUUAGGAUUAGGGUUAGGGUAAGGGUGAGCGAGGGUUCUGAGCGAGAGUUCUGCUGCCUCCACCGCCGUCGCCGUCUCCGUCGCCGUCUCCGUCCCCGCCGGCACUACCUCCGCCUCCGCCGGCAGCGGCGGCGGCGGCGGCGGCGGAGGCGCCGGCGCAGCCGCGGCGGCGUUCUUCGGCUGCCUCCCGCGGCGGCGGCGGCUGCUGCUGGUGGUGAGCGAGGGUUCUGAGCUAGGGUUAGGGUUAGGGUUAGGGUAAGGGUGAGCGAGGGUUCUGAGCGAGAGUUCUGCUGCCUCCACCGCCGUCGCCGUCUCAGUCCCCGCCGGCACUAACUCCGCCUCCGCCGGCAGCGGCGGCGGCGGCGGAGGCGCCGGCGCAGCCGCGGUGGCGUUCUUCGGCCGCCUCCCGCGGCGGCGGCGGUUGCUGCUGGUGGUGAGCGAGGGUUCUGAGCUAGGGUUAGGGUUAGGGUUAGGGUAAGGGUGAGCGAGGGUUCUGAGCGAGGGUUCUGCUGCCUCCACCGCCGGCACUGCCUCCGCCUCCGCCUCCGCCGGCGCAGCCGCGGCGGCGUUCUUCGGCUGCCUCCCGCGGCGGCGGCGGCGGCUGGUGGUGGUGGUGGGCGAGGGUUCUGAGCUAGGGUUAGGGUUUUGGGGGGAAGGGGGAGAGGGGGGCGAGGAAGCCGGAGGAGAGGAGGUCGGUGAGGUAGUAGGGGAGGAGGCUGGCGUGGCCGGGAGGGAGGCCGGAGAAGGCGGAGACGAUGUAGGCGGAGAUCGCCGCUUCCGUCGAUCCCUCCUCCUCCUCGGCGAGCGCGAGCAGCGCCACGCGGACCAUCUAUCCGACCACGCCCCCACAAAUCAAGAACACUCCAACAAAAACAACAACAGAAUACGAUCGAACUACGACCAGUGAAAGUACGUACCUCGGCGUAGGGAGGGUGAUCAGGGGUUCCACACUUUGCAUGCGGAGCCACGGCGCAGGGGUUCGGGUCGGGGCCUUCUUCUCCUACUGCUUUCUUCGCCUCCAUUGAGACUUCAGAGCACAGUGAGGGGAAAGCUGCUGCCGCUGCUGCUGCUCCUGCUGCUGCUCUUCUUUCUCCUGUGAUUGAGUACCUUUUUGGGUGAAUUUCAUCCGGCUAAAUUAGAAAGAAAAAGUGAAAACUUUAAAUGCCACAUUUAUUUUAAUUUUUAAUAAUUUAAAAUAAUAUUAUUUUAAUAUUUUGUACCUUUUUUAUUAUUUUAAAAAUUAAUUUUUUUGUUAAAUUAAUGACAAUUCGGUAAACCACGUGAUAUUAAAGUGAAUAUUUGAUAAACUAUAGGUGGAAUAUCUAAAAUUUUUUUUUUGUGUAUAAUUUAACAAAAAAUUAACGGAGAAAAAAAAAUCAAUAAUAGAGUUAAAAAUAAAGGAAACUAAAGUAAAUAUUCGAUAAACCUAGAUAAGGUAUAUGAGAUUUUUUGUGUAUAAUUUAACAAAAAAUUAACAGAGAUACUGAUCGAAAGAAAAAAAUAAAAUUACAUGAUACUAAAAUGACAUACUUUAAACCACAUGAUACUAAAGUGAAAAAAUGCGAAACACAAGGGUGGUAUUUGAAGUUUACUCUUAAAAAAAGUAUUAAUUACAUACAACUCCUUAUAAACAUAUCGAAUAGCAGAUGUAUUCCUAUAAAGUCAAGCUUUUUAUAUUUAUUUCUAUAAAAGUCCUAACGUUUUUAAAUAUACCCCAGCUAUUAGGAUCCGUCAUAAAAAUAUAGUUAAUCAUAGAUAAAAUACUUAAUCUUGAUUAGUGGUGGGGUAAAUUGAUCUGUUUACCCCUCUUAUAUUAUUUGUGAUGGCAGAAUGUAGAAAUAAGAUGACUAUUGAAAAUUUUUAAAAGGACAUUUUUACAUCAUCGUUCGAUAUCUGUGGAGACCAAGCUUUGAUGUGCUAUUUGUGACACCCUAAUAGUCCCAUAAUGAAUAAUAUGAGAGAGUAUGAAGGGCUUAAUACAGCGGCACACUAAAAUUAAUAAAUAAGCUUAAGCAUUUUGAAAUAGUGAUUUCAGUUCAACGGAAUAUUAAUGCUAGUGGGUCAGAUCAUUAUACUUUUUUUCGUUUUUCCCAAAGCUGUGCUCUAUUGUCAAAAUUCCUCUUACACUUCGGGACAUAGAAAUUUACAUAAUAUAAAUUUUGGACAGAGAGUAAUUUGUUCAAAUUUCUAAAAAAAUAAAUUUAAUCUGCAAAAUCUAAAAAAAUAAUUCUUUUUUUUUGAGAGAGAGAUAGGAAGCACGCUAUCCGCUUCGUUUAUUUCAUUAGAAAUAAACUUAGCUAGAAAUGUGAAUCAACUAGGAUUCGAACUUGGGUCUCGGGUACCAACCACCAAGCCCUUUACCACUUGCUCUAGGGACGGUCGGUAAUCUAAAAAAAUAAUUCAAUAGUUGAAAACAACUUGAAUAAAGCUUUCAGAAAAUCCUAUCAUUGAGGUUCAUCUUUUUUAUUUUUUUAGGGUAAACUUCAAAUAGCAUCCUUAUGGUUUUGCAUAUUCUCACUUUAGUACCUUAUAGUUUAAAAUAUAUCAAGUAAGUGUCAUGUGGUUUCAUUUUUAUUUUUUCAUCAGCUUCUCAGUUAAUAUUUCGUUAAAUUAUAUACAAAAAAAACUUCAGAUACCCCACCUAGGUUUAUCGAAUAUUUAAUUUAGUACAAUUUAGUUUUAACUUUGUCACUAAUUCAACGAAAAAAAUUAGUUAAAUCGAUAAUAAAAAGAUAAAAAAAAAAUCAUAGGAUACUAAAUUAAUAAAUUUUAAACAAUAGGGUACUAAAGUAAGAAAGCGUGAAACCACAGGAAUGAUAUUUGAAGUUUUCUUUUUUUUUUAUUAUCUAACUAGUGAUUUCUAAUAAAGUUAUUACCAUUACAAGUUUACAACAGUAAAUCUGUUGAUAGGGAUAUAAUAUGAUUGGCUCUCUUGCCCGCUUGUUGUCGGGUUGGGACAGAUUCGGAGCAAUUUAAUUUCUAUUCAAUUUUUUAUCCCAUUUAUCACUCUCCAUUCGAGGCGGAUCGAAAGCAGAGUAAAAUUUUGGCGGAUUGGGACAAAUCGAAGAAAGAAAGAGAUCUCUCGCCUCCCGCUCUAAUAUCAUGAUAGAUCACGACGGCAGAUUCAGAACGGACUAUCUUUUUCUUUACUCUCAUUUAUUGUCCCAUUUGGAACGAUUCGGGUGCGACCUUCGCCAACUUGGAUCCAUUUGCAUCCCUAUUUGCCAAGGAUUAAAGUACCAAUCGGUACGAGCCGUAUAUAUCGUGCCGUAUCAUACUAGCUAGGAAUGUUAAUAGCUACGAAUACUAGAAAUUUUAUCCGAAUCCGAACUCGAAUGGAGCGGAUAUAUCCAAUGCUAAAUGAAUAUGGAUUCGAAUAUGAAUCUUGACUGUACCCGAUCCAAAUCUGAACCCGACCCGUACCCGAAUUUAUUUUGCAUUAUAUAUAAUAUAUGUAUAAAAAUUUGAGGUAUAUUUAAAUGGCCUUUUUGCAUAAAAAAUUCACUAGUUUUGGGCUUUUGCAAAACUUGGUCGUUUUUUCGAUUUUGCAGAUUUGGUCUGAAUUUUUAAUAAACUGACCAAAAUACCUUUAUUAUUUUUUCUUUAGUUUUUUUUUUUCCUUUCCGAAGAAGGUUGCGGAGGCAGAGGCGGAAGCGGCGUGCCUUGCCUCUGCCCCUCAUGCCCUCAUCCUCACCCGCGCAGCCCCCGCCCUCCUCGCCUUCGACCCCUCCAAGGCCGCGCCGUGACUCUUUUUUUUUUUUCUCCGAUUCUCCUCCACCGUCUCCGCAGCCCGCCGCCGCCGCCACCGACGACGACAAAGAGGAAGUACUUCUUGGGAGAUGAAAAGCAUACCGACAAGAGGGGGGAGAAAACUCCGGCGAGGACGAUGGCUGCGAUAGAGGGCAAGGGAGAGAUCGUGACCAAAAAAAUUAUAAAGAAAAAAAAUAAAAUUAAAAAAAUAUUUUUUUCCUCCAUAAAAGAUAAAAAAUUAUAUAAGAAUGAAGAAAAAAAAUAAUGUUGUACUAUUUUAAAUAAAUGUUGCACUCUUUGAGACUGAAAUUACAGUGUUUGAAAUCAGAUUUACACUCUUUAAGAUGAAAUUGCACUAUUUUUUUUUCUUCUUCUUCCUCCAAUUUAUAUUAUUUUUUUUUCUUUUUCUUCUUCCUCCUUUCUUCUCUUCUCCUGCUUGAGUGUCCCCACCUCCCUCAUCAAAUCCCUCUGCUCCUCCUCUGCUGCCAUUGCCGACCAACACAACAACAACAACAACAACAACAACAACAACAACAACGUCCGUGUGCUAUCCAUGCUCGUCACCGUCGGCACUGUGCCCACCCUCCUUGACAUCUUCAACUCGGCCGCUGCGAACGUCGCCGGCAGCCUCGGCGGCGUCGGCGAGCUGUUGGAGCCCGCGUCCGCAGCUUCGGGUGGAUCUGCGACUGGGUCAUCACCGCCCACCUCGCGCGCCUCCGCAAGCAGCAGUCCCGCCUGUACAAUAAUUUCUUGUUUGAUCUUCUCUAUGGGAAUCAUUAAUUCGGACAAAUGACGGAUCCACUCGAUUUGGUCCACUCUACUAUGAGCUCAUGUAAUGAAAUUGCAUUUAUGAAUUUAAUAGAGGUAGGAGAAUGAAGGAAUUUUUUUUUUUCUUAAUCCUGCAUCUUUAAUUUUUUUUUAAAGAAAAUCAUAAUUUAAUUUCAAAUUUUAGUUUUUUAAUGUAAAGUAUCAAAUCUUUAGCGGCGAUGGCCCAGUCGCAGAUCCACCCGAAGCUGCGGACGCAGGCUCCAACAGCUUGUCGACGCCGCCGAGGCUGCCAGCGACGUUCGCAGCGACCGAGUCGGAGAUGUCGAGGAGGGUGGGCACGUCGCUGACGGUGAUGAGCAUGGAUAGUAUGCCGGCGUUGUUCUUGUUGUUGUUGUGUUGGUCGGCUGCAGCGACAGAGAAGGAGCAGAGGGAUUUGAUGAGGGUAGUGGGGACACUCAAGGAGGAGAAGGAGAAGAAAGGAGGAGGAAGAGGAGGAAGAAAAAAAUAUAGUAUAAAUUGAAGGAAGAAGAAGAAAAAAGAAAUAGUGCAACUUCAUCUUAAAGAGUGCAACUUCAUUCUAAAGAGUGUAAAUCUGAUUUCAAAAACUGUAAUUUUUGUAUCAAAGAGUGCUACCUUUAUUUAAAAUAGUGCAAGUUUUUUAAAAAAUAGUGCAACAUUAUUUUAAUAGAGCAAUUUUAUUUUCUUCUUUUUUUUAUAUGAUUUUUGAUCUUUUAUGGAGAAAAAAAAUAUUUUUUUAAUUUUAAUUUUUUUUUUAUAAUUUUUUUGGUCACGAUCUCUCCCUUGCCCUCUAUCGCAGCCACCGUCCUCGCCAGAGUUUUCUCCCCUCUCUCGCCGGUGUGCUUUUCAUCUCCGAGAAGCACUUCCUCUUCGUCGCCGGCGGCGGCGGUGGGCUGCGGAGGCGGUGGGCUGCGGAGGCGGUGGAGGAGGAUCGGAGAAAAAAAAAAGUGUCAUGGCGUAGCCUUGGCGGGAUCGAAGGCGAGGAGGGUGGGGGUUGCGCGGAGGGCGUGAGGGGCAGAGGCGAGGCACACCGUUUCUGCCUCCGCUGCCUUUUUCAGAAAAAGAAAAAAAAAUGAGAGAAAAAAAAAAAUGAGAGAGAAAAAAUAAUAAGAGUAUUUUGGUCGGUUUACUAAAAAUUCGAACUGAAUCUACAAAAUCGAAAAAAUAACCCAGUUUUGCAAAAGCCGAAAACUAGUGGAUUUUCUUAUAGAAAAAGGCCUAUUUAAAUUUGUAUUUUAAAAUUUUAGAUUUAAUAUAAUAUAUUUUCAAAUAUUGAAAAAAAUAAUUGUUUCGGGUUUGAAUUGUCGCGUUCGGGUUCGGAUUCGGGUUUUGGAUUUUUAGGUGAGUUCGAGUUUGGAUAUGGAUUUUAAAAAUUCGCCGGGUUCGGGUUCGGAUUCGGGUCUCAACUUUGGAGUCGGGUUUGGGUCUCAGGUUUGGAGUCGGGUUUGGGUUUAGGUUUUUGAAAAUCCGCCUCUAAUCCGACCCAUUGGUAUCUCUAAUGUCAGCAAGAUAUUGGCAUGAUAUAGUCUCUGUGCCAAUGACAUAAUUCAAAAUUCUCUAUUUUUGAAAUUAGUAAGUAAUUUUUUUAAUAAAAUUUAAAAUAUUUUAUAAAAAUAUUAACAUAUUUUGUUAUUAAAAAAAUAAAUAUUUUAUAUCAAUAUAUGUAGUAAAUUUUCUAUAGAACUCCGUACCACGUCACUUAGAUGCUUGCUACUCGCACAUCUAAACUGAUGCUACUACACAUAAGCGAGUCCCCAAAACUUGAAAACUAUCACCUUUGUAUUCAUUCGCUCCGAGCCGCUGCGGUGUUCAAAAUCGUCGUUCCCUCUCCCUCCUCCUCUCCAUGAAACUGGUACUCUCUCUCUCUCUCUCUCUCUCUCUCUCUCUCUCUCUCUCUCAUCCUUCUCUUCUCCUUCUUCUUUUUAACAUGUUCGCCUCCUCCCGGUUCUACAAACCCUAGACGUGCCUUAGCCAUGGCCGCGGCGGCGUCCACCGCCCCCCAUGCCACGUCCUGGAGCUCAGUGGCCUCCGCAUCCUCCUCGAGUGCCCCCUCGACCUCUCCGCCAUCGCCAUAUUCGCCCCAGUACCCUCCUCCUCGCCCUCCUCCUCCGGCGACCUCGUCGCAGCUCCGCCGUGGUACAAGGCCGUCGCCGCCCACCACCUGUUCGACCCCUGUCUCCUCGACGCCGUCGUCGUCUCCUCCCCCGCCGCCAUGCUCGGCCUCCCCUUCCUCGCCCGAAACCCUAAUUUCUCCGCGAAGGUAGCGAGAAAAUCGUGUGAUUUUGGCGUUGGGUAGUUUUAUAUUGUGCGUACACUUACUUUUUAGAUAAUUCACAUAACUUGCUAGCUUUCUAUCCAUGUUUUCUUUUGUUGCUUGUUUCAAGAAAGUCCUUCUUAGCAUGUUUUAGAUGAAUUUAAGAAUAAUUAAUGAACAAUUUUAGCCCUUUAUCCCUUAUUUAUUGAACAAUUUUAGAUGAGAUUUUGGCAUUGCUGGAUUUAUAUUCCUCACUUUUCGAUAAUUUUGCAGAUAUUUCUAAACUUUUUUCCCCUGAGGUUUUAAAUUUUGUUUCAGAAAAAGUCCGUAGCAUGUUUCAAAGGAAUUUAAGAAGGUUUAAUUAACAAUCUCGACCCUUUAUCCCAGUAGGCAUCACAUACGCGCCCCUUUGUCGUAAAGUCGUAAAUUUAUUUAUUUUGCCUAACACUCUAUCCUUGUAAUUCAUGUUUCGAAGGUAAAAUUUUGCUGAAUGGAGAAAAAGUUAAGAAAUUUACUAGAAUAUUCUGAAACUCUAGUAAAAGUUAGUUAGUAAAAGCUUUCAUGAAAGAAUAACUAAAAGGGAUCUCUCGUGAGGAGAUAAAAAGUAAGGACUUUUUUAAAAGUUAUCUUAGAAGCUAGGGACCUGGAUAUAAACUUUUCUUUGGCAAUUUGGUUCUGCAAAGUCUUUGUGAGCUUUGCCGAGUUUGAAUGGUGAUUUUGAUUUUUUUUUUUUUUAAUAAAUUUCCUUAAUGUUUCUUUUAGAUAUAUGCUACGGAGGUGACUGCAAGGAUUGGAGGGCUGAUGAUGGAGGAGCUGGUUGCAAUGCACUCUGAGUUUGUGAGGUAUUAUGGGUUGGAGAAGAGGCAGGGGAGGCCGGAUUGGAUGAAGUGGGAGGAGCUUGAAAGGCUUCCAAUCGAAUUGAGGAACGUUGUUAUGGGGGAAGAGGGGGAGGAGUUGGGUUGCUGGAUGCCUCAGUACAGGUUAGUUAUCUUGUUUUUGUCUUGAUAAUUAAGUUUUGAUGGUUUAUUAGUGUUGGUAAGUGAAUGUGAACCAAUGACCGUAGAAAAGAACUGCUGUUUGAGCUGAAGUUGGUGAUUGCGAGAUGUCAGAGUUUGACUGGGGGUUAAAUUGAUGCCGUCAUCAUGUAUUUCAUAAUGAUUGCGUUUGACUUCUAGAUUAUUGUUUAUGAUAUUUGAAUAUUGGUUGAAAAGCUUGGAGACUAUAUGUUUAACUGGUUCUGUAUGGUGGCAAACUUGGUAUCUGGGCAAGAUAAUUAUUUUAGCUAUGAUCUUUGAAAUUUGUUAUAAUGAGAACUUCAUUCAAGAGAUUUUUUUGUUUAACCUAUUUCUUCAUCAUGUUUGAUGGCUCUUCCUCAACUUGUUUAUCUGUUCAUGUUGUUAGUAGGUUUUGACAUUCACAGUUCUAGACGUGACAAGCCUUCAUGUUUUCUUUACGUAAAAUACCACUAACUUUUAUCCUAAUUGCAAUUCGAUCCACUAAAUAAAAUUCAAUGGAAAAAUGCCGACCAAACUUUUACCAUUGCAAUAUUUCCCGCAAAAGACUCAUUCGGAGAAAAAUAAUCCUCACUGAGAAGUUACUAAAGUUUGUUGGUUUUAACAACAAAGCCUGAUCCACAAAAUUUAAUUUGGUGCAAUUACGUCUGAGCGAGGAAUAAUUGGCAUAGUAAUAUCAGAUAUUCUUGACUUUUUAUUUUUAUUUUUGCACCAAGCAAGUUUGGUCAAAUUGAAAUUAGAAACAAGUUGGUUGAUAUUUUGCAACAAAUUAAAGUUAGUGGCUCAACUGCAUUUGGAGAUAAUAUUCUUGUUUGAAACUUUUUUCGGAAAAAAACACUAUUGGCUUACAUGUCAUUAAGGAUCGAUGAAAAGAAGCAACAUAGGCUAGCUAUGGUUGCCAUAAAGCAUCUCAAAAUAUCAUAAGUUAUACAUGCAGUCUGGCUAUCGUUUUUAGCUCCUACCAAGAUAUUACUUUUGCUGUGACACUGAUUCAAAAUGAAGUUAAUUGAUAUGUUAUCACUAUUAUUUAUUUGAUUGUUUGAAUAUUUGUUGUGUUCCUGGUAUUGUGAUACCAUAUUUAAAUUGGGGAUGCAAUAAUCUGGUAUUUGUCAGUGCAGCGGAAGUAAAGGAAUGUAUGCAGAAAGUAGUGCCUCUGAAGUAUGCGGAAGAAGUUUGCUUUAAUGGCGCCAUAAUACUGAAGGCUUUCAGUUCAGGCUUGGAGAUUGGAAGUUCAAAUUGGAUGAUAAGCAGUCCGCGAAGAAGCAUAACAUAUUUGUCCAGCUCCAUAUUUGAGUCUGGUCAUGCCAUGGGUUUUGACUACCACUCUCUACAGGGGAACGAUUUGAUUCUAUUUUCUGAUCUCUCAUCUAUGAAUAGCACCGAUUAUGACACUAAACCAGACGAGUGCAAUUCUCCCCCUUUGAGGUAGAUUAUUAUUGUGUUAUUACAAAUACCUUGAUUGUACCUUUGUUUUGUUUGAUCCUUGUUACUUCGGUAAGUGAACUGUAAGAUUUUAUAUUGUUGUGUACAACUUCUUCUAGGACGGAUAAUGAUAACGAGGAUCAUAUUAUUAAAAGCUUAAGUGGCAAUGAUGAAAAUCUAGAGGAGAUUGAGAAGAUCAGUUUCAUAUGCUCAUGCAUUGUGGAUUCCUUGAAAGCUGGAGGUAGUGUCCUGAUCCCAAUAGGUCGACUUGGUAUACUUCUUCAACUUUUGGAGUAUAUCUCUCGUGCUCUAGACAAUUCUAAUCUGAAGGUACUUUAAAAAAACAUUGCUAUCUGUUACUUCCCUUUUGUGCAUUUCUCUUUUCUCUUGAUAGUGUGUUGGUUUUUUUUUUUUUUUUUGCUCGUACAAUUAUAAGCAUGAUUACUGUCAAUUAUCCUGCAGGAUAUUUUAUGUAUGUCUUUGGUGAGUAAGUUUGGUAAAGCAUUUCUAUUGUGCAGAACUGAAUUACUUUUCAAAUUGUUUAUUUAAAGGUUAGAUGUAAGGUUAGUCGCUGAACUUUUGAUGAUUUAGUCCUUGAAUUUUUUGCUAUAAUGGUCUCGUCCCUAGUCUUAUCGAAGUUUCAGAAUGUCUUCUGUAGGUGCAUUUUCACCCAAAAUCUUUAACAUUGCUUAGGUUAUAGAUUGCACACAUUGGUAAUAAUGUUAAAUGAUCUUUUAGUCUCUUUUUUUUUUUUUUUUUUAUCUCUAAGCCAUCAGAUUAUUUUUGGAUGUUUCUUUUUUUCAUGCUAAAUCCUCUUUUUUAUUAUGUUUUUAUAUAUAUGUGCAUGGACAGCAUGCAUUUGAUUGGAUGUCAGGAAAUUUAUGCUGAAAAUAAACUCUGCAAUGACAAUGGAAAAAUUAGGAAAAUUAGGAACUAAUCUGGUCGAUUUAAAAAUGUGGGGACCUUACCUUUUAUUUCAAUAAAGGAUUACAAGUCUUUGCUUUCAUAUAAAGGAAACGAAGAAAAGAUAGUGCAUGCGACGAAUUACUUAUUGGGUUGGAGAGGCUUUGCUGUACUGGUUAUUUCCCACGUUGGACUGGGUCGGUCAACAAUCAUGUUAUAUUUUACCACUUCCACUGGUGAACAUCUACUGGUGAACAGAGCCUGCAUUAUCUGGAUUUGGAACACUGUUCUCUUACUGUUUUAACUUUUUGUUCGUUUCUCCACCCUCUGUUUUUUUUUAAUAAUAUUGAUGUGGGUAUGACGGCAUUUUGGUGUAUUUUAUAUAGACAUAGUAUUAGCUAUAUUUGUGAAUGCUCUUCUUUUCUCUUCAGUUUGCUGCAAGAUCUUUCUCUUUCUCUUGUUGUGUAUUUUUAGCAUUGGCUUGUUCGAAGCAGGGUAAGAUGUUACAUCUCUUAUCAGCUGUGAUUAUGUCAUUUAACUAACCUUAUUCUUUAUUCUAACGAUACUGAUUAUUUGUUAGGUGCCCAUAUUUAUGGUUUCUGCGACAGCAGAGGAGACAUUAUCAUUUACUAAUGCUAUCCCAGAAUGGCUUUGUAAAGAACGUCAAGAAAAGGUUAUUGCCAAUACAUGAAUGUGAUAAUUUUAACAUUAUUACCAUGAACCUUUUGGUGGAUGACGAUAUCAUGUUCUUGAUGGUCAUGCAGCUUUUCUUAGGCGAAGCAUUGUUUGGACAUGCGGAGCUCAUCAAAGAGGGAAAGCUUUGUGUGUUUCCACUGCUGUAUGAAAGAGAGUUAUUGUAAGAACUUUGAAGUGAUGAUAUGAUGUUCAUCUUUAAGAGUUCUACCGUAGAAUGCCAAAUUCUGCAAUUUUUGCCAAGUUCCUAUGCGGACAAAUAAUUCAUAUUGUUUCCUUUUCUUGAUGCCGCUUUAUAGGUUAAGGUAUCCAUUAUUACAUGGGCUUAUUUGAGGUUGGUCUGCUAUAUGAAUUCUCAAAAGAAAUUGCAGUAUGAUUUGUAAAAUGGAUACUAGUAUAGGUUAAGGUAUCCACAUUCUUUGAAGUUGGGGUAUCACCUCUAACCUUGUCAUUCUCUGCGUCCUUUUGGUCUUUCCACUUUAUCUACUUGAUAGGCUACUAGACUCUUGCAUUUGUAUUUUGACAUUCUAUAUGGCUACACUACCUCGAAAAAGUUUUCCUCAUUUUGUCCUCGUAAGUAGCUUUAUUGUUUUUUGAAUGACUUUUAUGCUAACCGAUGGUUGUUAGAAGUGGCAUGUAGUUGCAUAAACAUGAAAUAAAGAGGCAUGAGGUUGCAAAAACUAACUAGAAGGCACUGAAUAUUUGAAGGCUCCGCGCAUUGUCAUAUUUUCUUUGUAUCCUUUAAAAGUAGAGAGAAUUAUAUGUGAGGAAUUGAAUAUCCAAUCAAAAUUGUACUGCCAUUAUGAUCUGUCAUUAUAAAGAGCAUACUAAUAAUGUUCUGACCAUGCGAUUUAUGUGGGUUGAUGUAAUUCUCAUAUUGAUCAAUUUACUAUUUGACCACUAGGGGCACAAUUUUCAAAAUUAAUCUUAUAAUUGGUUGGUAAUUAGCAGUUCUCUUACAAAUUCUUCUGAACUUUUGAGUCCUGCUCCAGCUGACUGUAGAAAAGGCUUGUAUAAUACUGAUAUGCUCAACGUUUCAUCAAUGCUGUACUUUUUAGAGAUCCCUCCCUUCUUUUUUCUUUGCUUCAUCUCUUAAAUAGAUCAAAAUGGCUCUUCAACACUCUAUACCAUGCAUUUUUGACCUAAUGCAAGCUUCGCUCGUUCUUUUUUUUUUUUUUUUUGAAAUCAAUACUUUCAUCUUUUUCUUCUGAAGUUGACGAGCUUUUAAUAAUAACCUUACAAGUUUGGAAUACGAGAUCGAAGCAGUGCAUUAGUUACUUUUGGACCUUUCCUUGAGAUGAACAGCAAAAGCUGUUUGCGAUGUUGGAUGAAACUUCAACCAAGUUGUUUGACAAUAUUUGUUUUCACAUUUGUUUGUUUUAACCAUCCUAAUGAAACUAAAAAAUCUUUUCAGGAUGGCGUGGCAAGAACCGUGCAUCGUAUUCUCUCCUCAUUGGAGUCUAAGGUUUGGUUCGGUUGUUCAGUUGCUUAAUCGUUGGCAUUCCGACCACAAUUCACUACUUAUUCUAGAGGUAUAUUUCCAUUUGCUUGAUUAGGGCCCAGUGAAAAUUUUGUCACAGCCUAUUAGGAUAUCUUCCUUUUAGGGCAUUCUGCAUUGAGUUAUUUAAUCUUAUAUCUAAAAAAAAAUGUAUGACUUGCAGCAAGAAGUUGAUGCUGAAAUGGCUCUUUUGCCCUUCAAGACAUUGGCAAUGAAGGUUCUCCAAUGUUCUUUUCUUUCUGGGUUGAAGUAAGGAGCUCCCCAUUACCGUGUUCCUUUGAUGCUCUAUUUAUGCAAACACUUUAUUUUAUUUUAUUUUUUUUAUCUCUGAAUAUUAAAUGUCAAGUUGAUACUAAUUAUCUAUAUUGCUUAGUUUUUCUUCGGUACUCGUGCAUGCUUAGAAGAGUAUUUAAGUAGAAAUUGGAUAGUUUCUGGAGGCCUUGAUUUUUCUCUGAACUCCAGUUGAGUUCAUUAUUUCAGUUUUACUUUUGUGAGGCAGAUGUUUUAUCUUUAAUCUAAGUAGGCCCGUGCUCCACUAAAUUGGUACUGAAGGAAGAAAGUUGAUCAAUGAAUCUUGUUGCUUAUCUGUUUUUUUUUUUUUAAUUGGUCUUGCAUUUAUAAGUGAAAUCAUGCUGGUUAUGAAGCAGCUUCAUAAUCGGCUUGGCUGUGUUUGUCUGAUUCUUCAUGCUUGUUAUGUAUUGGUAAUUGACCUUAUUUUUUGUGCCUAUCUUGAAACUUGUUUAGAUUCAUGAGAACCGCCUUUUAGCUGCUAUAAAUAGGGGUUGAUUUGGUAUCUAAACAAGCCCGAUGCUGAAAAUUGUAGUUCUGGGAAAGUUAACAAAAUAAACGUUAAAUGUGUAUGCUGCUCGCAUCGGUAAAUGCUAUUACAUUAUGUUGGUCGGUAACCUUCGAAAUGUGAGAUACAAUGGCAAACCUGAAAAUUCGUGAUUUGUCAUGUUGGUAUUUCGGCCACAUUCUGCAAACUUUGUCCAGGUUUACUUUUGUUCGUUGAAAGCUCUGGCUCGUCUUUUAAGCUAGCUACUAUUUUUUUUUUCUUCUUUUUUUUAAUCUCUACUGAUGGAUGAUACUUCUUUGGUUUGCAGGAUGCAGAAAGUUCAACCAUUGCUGGAACUGCUACGGCCAAAGCUCGUUCUGGUAGCCUCUCAUGUAUCUCCUUAGAUAAAGCAAUUCUCUCUCAUUUUUCAAUUUCUUUGUGCUAAUUAUCUUAUCAUUUCAUUUGCAGUUCCCCGAAGUUCUGAGACCUCACUGCCCUAUAAAAGAAGGCGGCUCAUUCGCGUUCUUAUACUAUUCCGAGAACGUGCGGUUACGAGUACCAAACUCGAGAAAAGGCUUUGAAGUUCAACUGGCAACCGAGCUAGCAUUUCAGCUUGAACCCAGAAGAUUACUGGAAGGUAGUAUGGCCAUCGCCAGAUUGCAAGGGAGGCUUCUCCUGAGCAAAGGGAAGUAUCUCCUCGUCUCUGGAAAGAAGCCGCUGAAACAAUCAAACGAACAGAUGCUCCUCUGGGGUUCUGUUGAUCCCGCUCGACUAAUUCUAGCCCUAGAAGAGAGAGGGAUAGUUGGUUCUAUCUGUGACGACGAUAAAGCCGCGGAUGGUUAUUGGUUCAUUCAGGUCUCUAAGCCAGAAGAGGGGCUAAUUAAGAGCAGUGCGAGUGAGACCGUAAUCUCUUGCGACGACGAAAGGACGUCUGCCCUAAUAUUUGAAGCUCUUUGUAGUGUUUGUGAUGGAAUUUAAUAUUGUAUGAUUUUUAUAAUAUAUUGUAUAAACGAAUAACAUAGUAUAUUAUGGACAAAUAGUAUAAUAUAUUACAAUAUAUUACAAAGAUUAUGCAGUAUGUGUAUAAACAAUGCAUAUAUUAUACUAUUUGUACAAAUAUUGUACUAUUUGGAAGAGAAUGUUAUAUUAUUUAAGAAGUAUUAUAUAUAUAUAUAUUUUUAUUGGAAGUUUUUAUUUAUAUGGUAGAUAAGAAUUUUAUUUCUCCAAAAAAAAAGAUGACUGUAAUAAUGAUUUGUCAGUUGUAUUUUUUAAGGUAUUUAAUUUAUAUACUUUUUAUGCAUUUUGAAACAGGGAUAGCUUGGUCAUUUUUUUAAAAAUCGAAUCGAACCUGUAAAAUUUAAAAAGCGGACUAUUUUUACAAAAAUUUCAAAACAAGUGAAUUUUUUAUGCAAAUUGGCCUAUAUAUUUACAUUCCAGUUAUCAUUUAGGGGGUGAAAACCGUAGUCAGAUUUUUUUUUUAAAAUAAUUAUAUCUAUAUUCAUAUUUUUUGUUAUUAUUUUUUUUAAAUGUGGAAUUCAAAUAUGAAAUAUAUACUUGCGUAUUAUCGAAUUCGAUGGAGAUAAAUUUAUCCUAACCACUAUCACCCCCACUUGUUUUCAUUUCCUUGUAAAUUUUUUCCAUUACUUGGCCCUCAAGUCUCACUCGUUUCUCUCUCACUUGUUUUUAGCUCCUCCUCCUCCUCCUCCUCCUCCGAGCUUCUUCGUUGUCUCCACCCCAAAACCCUAAUCACAAGCAGAAGCAGCAGCAGCAGCAGCAGCAGCAGCAGUAGCAGUAGCAUCAGAUCCGGGGAUGGACGCGGCGAUCGGCAAGUUCUGCGACUCCGUCGGGUCCUUCUUCAGCGGCGGCGACAACCUCCCAUGGUGCGACCGCGACAUCAUCGCCGUAAGCGUCCCCUUCGCUGCUGCCCCCCCUAACGCUAACCCUAAACCCUAGAAACUUCAAUUUCGGUGCUGGAUAUGCUCAAAUGCACGGAGAACUUGAGCUCUGACCUCUUCGAUCGGCAUCGUUUUGUGCUGAUUUGAGUUAGUUGUAGCUGAUGAAUUGAAAAUUUUGUCAAAUUAAAUUAGUUAUUUGGUCAAAUUUGAAAUCGAACCCUAAACCCUAGAAUUCCUUUGGUUGAAAUGCAUUGAGAACUUGAGCUUUCACCUUUUUCGAUCGACAGCAUUUUGUGUUGAUUUGGAUUAUUGUAGUCAAUGAAUUGGGAAUUUUGUUAAACUAAUAAGUGAUUUGGUCAAAUUCAUUUCAUGUCUCUACUUUUUUUUUGGGGAGGGGGUUGGAGGGGUGCAUUUCGUUAAUAAUUAAUGAUCAAUAGCCAACGGAGUAGCUAGUUUUAAUGAAAUUUGCAAUUAAUUGGCUAAAAGAACUCAAAUCAAACCUGGACAAAUGAAGGUUGACGGGUGACAAUUGAAAAUUUUGAUUCAGGGGCCUAUUCCAAAAUUACCUCUCACUUGAAGGGUUCCUGAAACACUUUUACAAAAUUAUUUUGUAUCCAAGUUAUUCUUUUUGGAAUUGGAUGAUGUUUUGGACUAUAUCAUUGAAUUACUGAAGUACUCAGAAAGAUCCCAAAGAUUCAAGUAAAAGUAUUGAAUAAAGGAUCCAAUUAUUCUCAGUUUGCUUACUGCUUAGAGCUUACAAUCUUUUAGAUAAGAAUGCAUGGCUAUAGGCUAUUUUUGAAUAGGCCUUCAACUCUACUUUUUUCUUGAUUGACACCCCUAUUUAUUUAUUUAUUUUAUUUAAGAUAUUUGUGUAAAUUGAGUCGGGGAUUCAUGAGAAUUAACAGCUCCUUUAGCCAUUAGUUGUUAUCAAUUUACGAAAUCAAUAGUUUCAUCAACUGUUCAGAAUAGUUAAAUUUAACUGAAUAACUGUUAAAUUUAAUAGAAUAUUUUUAGUUGAUGAAAAUAACCUAAAUCAAAAGAAUGAAAAGUUGUGGGGAUUUCAAUAAAAAAAAUAGUUGAGCAGUCUAUUUCCAAAUGGCCUAUAGUUGAGGGGAUUCCUCUACACUUUUACCUUUUUCUAACUAUUAUAACUAUAAGAUUUUCAACAAUUUAGUAAGUGUUUUGUGAACAAUGGAAUGAAUUAUUUGCUUAACCAUUUGCAUAUGUCACUUUCAUUUCAAUUGAAUGACCAAUUGUUAUUAACUUCUUCUAAAGAGGAUGCUAAACAAAUAUGGAAGUAUAGGAACAAUUUUAGUGUGAAAAGAUUUUGAUCAUUUGUUUUCGGGGUUAUAACUUUAACUAUGAAAGAAUCCUAAACAAAUAGACCCGUCCAAUUUGUAGAAAUGUUUGUUACUUCCUUUUGUUAUUUCCUUCUGCAGAGUAAAGUUUAGGGAUUAAGGGACAAAGGUUGAAUUUUUCGGGUUCCUUUUAUUGCGUCAAAAGAAUGUUACCUUUUAUCAUGUCAAAAGAAUUUAUCUUUCUAUUUGUCAUAGGUUUAUCAUUUUGAUAUUCAGAUAUCAGUCGAGAAGAUGUUGAAUUCCAUUUCCUCUUUCCAUGUAAUUCUGAAUUUUCGUUAUACGUAUCAACUGUCAAGAGUGAACCCGCUCACACUAAAGUAUUUUUGCAGCGUAUAUGAAGUUACAAACAGAGUGAUGUAUUCCCACUUGAGAACUUUAGGAUCAUUAUUUAUCAACUUGAAUCCCACACAUGACUUUCUAGAAUUCAAAUGCAAUUACUAUAUGUUUGCUAUCGCCUUAUGGCAUGGUUCAAGCAAUACUAUGUGAUCUGUGGAACAUAUUAUGAAGUGCCAUGUUGUAUUUUACAAUAUCUCUUACAUGAUGUUAGUGAGUUGUUUAAUUUUUACUUGCUCUUUAACUUGAAUACGCAUGUUUGUACCGUACUGUAAUUUCUGGCUUGUUGAUCGAUGGCUUUUGCAAAAUUUGGAAAUCGCCAGAGCAAUUUUUUUAAAAUUGACACAUUUUUUAAAUUUUUUUUGCUUAAACUAUCUUGUUAUUAUUUCUCUUUUCCCUCAGGAUUAAAACUGUUUUGCAUUUUGGUUCCUAGUGAACCCUUAAGAGAGGCUGACGAACAUACUCUUUUUAGAAAAUCGAACAGAGUAAACAUAUACAGAUUAGAAGAUUAUAUUGAUGCUCUAGAACAUGAUAUACAAUUUCAGGCUAAGCUCCAUAAUUUUCUUUAAAUCUAUUUGCAAAUUUUGUUUUUCCUGUGGCGUGUGGGUGGUAAUCAUUUGGUUUUUUUUAAACAUGUGCAAUUUAUUUAUGUUAUAGCAUGCAGACAAGCUCAUAUCAUUGUGCUUGAUUUCUUGGCAGGGUUGUGAGAAAGAGGUUGCUGAGGCUGGGAAUGAAGAACAAAAGGCUGAAAGCCUUAUGAGGUUAUCUUGGGCCCUCGUUCACUCUAGACAACCCGAUGAUGUGAAUCGUGGAAUAGGGAUGCUUGAAGGUAACAUAUGUUUUCCUUCUUGGGUAAAUUGCACUAAUAGUCCCUGUACUUUGAGUUGAGUUUCAUGUUCAUCCUCGAAAUUUUAAUUUCGACUUUUGAGAUCCUGAACUUUUAAAUAAGGUUUCAAUUUAGUCCCUAAACUUUCAACAAUAUUUCAUUUUGGUCCUUAUCGUGGAGUAAAAAUUAUUGUAUGCACCUAAUUCAUCUGGGUAUUCAUAUGCCAUAAAUUGAUUGAUUCUUCACCAAUCUUAUACUUUCAAUCCAAUGAUUCAAUUUAUAUAACGAAAAAAACUAUAACUCAAUGUGGUAAGGUCGAAAUAUGAGAUGAAAAAACAGUGGAUAAAUGUUUAGUGACUAGUAAUGUUUGAACUUUAAAAUUUGACGGCUAGAAUGAAACUUGCCCAAAAGUUCAAAAGUUCAGGGACUAGUGGUGCAAUUUAACCCUUUUUUUCCUGGUAUUAAUUGCUUCUCUCUUUCUUUCUUUUAGUUAGUAUCUGUGAAUUUACCUAUAUGAGAAUAUGAGAGGCAAUUUGUUCCUUUUGAACUACUAUGUUUGUUUUGUUUAAUUAUAGACUUUUGAGUAAGAGUAAUGUCUUGACACUAAGCCUCUUCUUGUCUUGGCAGCUUCUCUGGAUAGUUCUAGCAGCCCAUUGCAAACACGGGAAAAACUAUAUUUGUUAGCUGUUGGGUACUAUAGAAACGGGGAUUAUGCAAGGAGUCGUCAGCUUUUGGAGCGGUGUUUGGAGGUUUUACCUUAUUUAUUUUACCACCGAUACAGUCUAUUUACAUAUUCAGAUACUUUUUCUUCCAUUCGAUACCAGUACUAUUUUUGCUUGUUGUGCAAAGGAUGUUUUGAAAUUUACUUUAUAUCUUGGUAAAUAUUUUUGUGGACAACAACUUGGUCAUAUUAGUUUGAAGUUUGAACUGCAACCCAUCCUAUAUGCUGCUGUAGUUAUUAAUUAAAUGGUAAUGCUGAUGGAUUCUCAUGUUUUUUGGUAUUGUUGCAUUUAAAAAAUUUAUUUUUUUUUAACUUUAACGAGUUUAAAGUUUUACCAGCUUGAUAUAUUUUCAUCAUUCAGUCACAAUCUUGUAAAGGUUUUCUGAUGAUAGACUGAAAUGCUGCACACACUAUUUUGGUAUACUUAUGUUGAGUUUUUUAUUUUUUGUUAUAUUCUGUUGUAAUUUGUAGGUAUGUCAAAUUUCUGUGUGGCUAUCAUACUAAUAAAUCCUUUGGAGGAUAAUGGAAUAGCUGAUAGAAUUAACUUUUUGCCAAUCUAAUUACAAUCACACUUUGUUUAUUUGCCAUAAAAAGUUGUUAAAGUAUGAUGCACACAGUUAUUGCCAUGUAUAAUAACCUAAAGAAACAUUUCUUCCAACUGACAAUCACGCAUCACAUUAGCUGUCAAAAUGUUUUGCUUGUCUAGAUUAGUUUUCAUUUUAAAAUAGAGUAGAGAGUAGUAUUUUAGUGUUGAAGCCUCAGUCACUCGUACUUUUGGGAGCCUCCAUUCACGUUAGUUGCAUUAUAGCCAACUUAAUUAUAACAGAAAGGUAUUUAUGAUGAGGUAAGUCUUAUCCAUCUCUUCCUGUUUCUCUGUGUUUGUAGAAAUAAUUUUUGUUGAAGUACAUAAAAAUCUGGAGAGCUCUUAUACAGUGAUUGGAUUCAAGAUGCUUAUUUACCAGUCAUCAAACAUUUGAAUGCAUCCUUGUGUUGCAAUAAUUAAUUGGUUAAUUGGUGUCACUGAACACUUGUAACAUCUACCCAUGCUCACAAAUUUUGAUGUGCAAAAGUUUAAGGGCCUGUCAUUUUGUUGCAAUAGCCAUUGCCAGUCUGCUCCGUUGUCUUUUUAAUCCUCUUACUUCCUUUUGUUGUCAACUAUUGAGUUAUCUAUAGGGGUGUCAACGAGCCGAACAUGAGUGAGCUGGGGCCGGUUCAUUAAAGUAUCGAGCCGAAAAAUUCAGCUCGUGUUCCGCUUGUUAAUAAACGAGCCGAACACGAGCUGGCUCACGAGUUGGCCAACGAACAAUUAAAUAGAUUAGAUUGGAUAUGUAUAAAAAAAAAAAUUUAUAAAAUCUUACUCAUUAGACUUUGAUCUAAUGGCUGAAACUUUACAUAUAAAUGAGUCUUUUAAUAAUUGAGCUCAGCUUUAUAUUUUAUUUGCUAAAAAUCAAAUAAAAAAAAUAUUAUAUAUAUUAUUUAUUUAUAUAUAUAAAUAUAUAUAAAUAUAAAUUAUAUAAAUUAUAUAAAUAUAAAAUAUAUGUAUUCGAGUUGUUAUCGAGCCGAACACGAGCGAGUUGACCCCAGCUCGUGUUCGGCUCGUUUACUAAACGAGCGAUUCGAUCUCUAGCUUAUUUCGAGCCGCCGAAGCACGAGCCUGGACAGUGACCUGAAUUGUCACCCUUAGUUAUCUGUCAUGGAACAACUCAUUUUUUCAGCAUGGAUGUGAUAGAAGCAGUACUGUUAUAGUACUGAAUGAAUCUUAUAGCACAGCAUUAUCGAAGUGAUACUACAUCAGAAUCUCUAUACCACAGAUACUAUGGAGUAUUUAGCACUGAGGUACUGUAGCUUUAGAGGAGGAAGAAAAUCAGAAGAACAAGGCAAAGAUGAAAGAUUCUAGCGGUGUUGUAGCAUAAUGCUGUAAUAAUAACACUAUUAGAAUCACUGUAGCAUUGUGGUACUGUAUUGCACAGAGAAAAGGGGAAAAGAGAAGAAAGAUAAGAAGACAAAGAUAUGAGAGGAGAACUAGAGAGAACUUCCUCAGCUGAGAUAGAGGAAGAAUAGAGAUAGCAUAUUUUGUUGUUGUCUAUAAGGUUAACAAUUCCAGCCUGAUGAGGAUGCCUUUUGAUGUAGGUGAGGAGAAAGAAAAACAAUUAAACUCUUUAAUUUGUGUUUUAGUUAGAUUAGGUUUUAGAGAUAUUUGCUAGAAUUUGAUUUUUGUCUUUUAGUAAUUUUUGGCUAAACCAAAUCCCUGACUAUCAGGAAGUUUGGUUGAGAUGCAGGUCAGCUAGGAUUAGGCUUCUAAGUAGUGUAAAUGAAGUCCAAGACCUCUGCAAUCAUUAGUGUGUUUUGGGAAGGAAAAUUGCAUUUACUUUCCAUAUGGGCAAAUUUUGGCCUUUCUUUCGUUCCCUUCCUUUUCACCAACUUCUUUUGCUUUCUCUCUUUCUGUUUUUUUUACAACAAACCAUUGCCUCUAUCUGUUUGAACCGCUGCCAUUCAUCCAAAUCAUUUCCGCCCACUGUCACCAGACCCCGCCCUACCAUGCUCAUUGUUCAAAACUGCUCGGCCAUAAGGUUGCACGUGCAUUGCCUCCACAAAGCUGAGCUCUCCCACAAUCCCAACUCCCAUUUUUUAUGAUCUUUUCGUCUUUUCUGCAAAUCUGUAAUUAGUAGCCGCCCCAUUUGGGAGAAAAAAGGAAAAUAAAACCUAUCAAACCCUUUGCCAUUGAACGCUUUUCUGCAAAUCUAUAAUUAUUAGUAGCCCCGUUUGGAAAAAGGGAAAAAAAAAAAGAACACCUACCCAACCCUUUACCAUUCAACCCUUCAUCACCUUUUAGCCUCACAUGAACCCAUAGCCGAAUCCAUAGGCGUCUUAUUCAUUGGGAAGAAACAUUACAUGCUGCAGUUUUCUAUUGGUUGGGUCUAUAGGACAAAAUGGCUUAACUUUUUGCUUAACCAGUUUAGAGGAUGACUGUUUUAGUUAAUCCUUUUUGGGGAGAAUUAAAUAGUGUUGAAAUGGUUAGAGGAAUACAGACAUUGUAACUAUAAAGUAAACCGGAAGGAGAGUGAUCUAGUAGAUUAGAAGAUGCUGCAGGAUCAAAUGUGGAUACGUCCUCUUACUGCACUUUGUAUUUGGUCUUAUAUCUUGUUUUGAUCUGGAUAGUGGGUUUCCGACUUACUGAAUUAUCCAUUUAUUGAUUUGCUUGAUGUAUCAUUUCCUAUGUGUAUCUAAAUAUAUCAAAAUGGUUGUUAUGUCAAUUUGCAAAUGGGUACCUAACUUCAAAAGUUUAGAUUUCAUUACCUAGCUUUUUGAAAUUGUGUUUUCAGUUUUCAAAUUGUCAGAGAAAUCUGUCUUCACCUAGUGCAUCCAUUUAUCUGCUCACCGUACUGCAUUUGCCCUCCAUCCCAUAGCAUACUUUCAAUAGAAUCAUCCAAGACCAUGUGUAGAGGCAUUUAUAGAAAAUAUCUGUUAUUGUUGCCAAGAUUGACAGGGAUAUACGUGACAAUGAUCUAGUAAUCUAAUAUAAUUGCACAAAUCAAGCACAGAAUUUUAUUCCUGAGAUUCAAUGUCGCCUUAAUGUGAAAUCAUUUUGUGAUGCUUAUGUUCGAUAAAUUACACGAGCUUGAAAUCUUGUAGGGUAGGAUAUAACAGGCUUCGAUGUUCACUUUACAUUCAUUUAAUCCCUGCUCAAUGGUAUUGUAGAUUGCACCUGAUUGGAGGCAGGCACUGACUUUGCAAAAGGUAGUGGAAGAUAAAAUUGCAAGAGGUGAGAUAUUUGUUCAUGCGUAAAAUUUGAGCUAGCACUUUAAAUUGAUUAUCUUCAGUAUAUUAUUAUAAUGCUUUCUCUUACCCAUUUGAUAGCUCAAAACUUGGUAUGCUUUGAGAAAUAUUUGUUCUUGUUGACUUACGCUCACGUCUUAUCAUGUGCUUAUAUAUAAGCGAAAUGACCAGAUCUUUUUUGUGGCAACAGACGGUUUGAUUGGCAUGGGCAUUACUGCUACUGCUUUUGGAGUGGUGGGCCUUCUAGUCGGAGGGAUUGUUGCCGCCGCAUCUCGCAAGAAGUGAAAAAUUUUCUUUCAGAUUCACUACGACGAGUUCUUCACCCUUUUGUCGUUACGUCAACUACCAAGUGUUUUCGCUUCAAGUAUCUUUUUAUCUCUAACUCUGCUGAAUCUUCAUAAGCAAUAAAAUAAGAAUAUGGGCUUUCUAAGAAUGUAAAUUUUCUGUUAAUAGGUUUUUUUUCCAUUAAAUAUAAAAAAUAUGCAUCUAAUGUUUUUUCCAGUUCUUUUCAUAUAUAAGAUCUUUAUUUUCACCUUUUUAUGCAUUCUGAUGAAAUUUUCUCUCUCUGUUGUUUCCUUUUUCUUUCUUUUCUCACUCACCAUCUCAUGAUUAUUUAAGCUUAUGUGUCAACAUUGAAUCUGUCUGAUAGUUGAGAUAUUGUUAGCAAUAAUAUUGAUCUGAUUCUAAGCUUUUCUCCUUUCCAUGAGGCUACUGGAUUUCAAAUAGUGCGCAGUUCAUUUAAGUCUACGGGAUUUCGAACCACUGAUGUUUUAGGUAGUAUUUGAUUUGUUGAAUUUACAGGACUUCAUAUUUCGUGCCUCUGUAUGAAACUAUGGAAACUGAAAUUAUAUGCGGAGAUAAUAUUCUUACAUUUAUUGUCAUUUUACUGUUCCUUGUAGAUCUAAGGGUUCAUACGUACAUAGACAUUCUCUGUUUUUUUUUUUUUUUUUUUUUUUUUUUUUUUUUUUUUUUUUUUUUUUUUUUUUUUCCUUUUGGGCAUCUAUUAAAUUAUUAAUACAAUACUCUGCAUCUUUCUUAAAUAGGCUCGAAUAUUUAUGAUGAUUGUUGAAUUAGAAUGUAAGGCUUUAUGAAAACAAGUUGGUUAAUGUUCCUUAUAUAUAGGACCUGCUAGGGAGCAAUGUAGAAAUAGUGUAGUUGAAAAACACGAGUUUUUUUUUUUUUUAAGCUUCCUUGGACUUUUUUUAAAUUUUUUUUUUUAACAAUGUACUGUUCGGGUGCCUAUUCUAGAGUUUUAAAAUACAUAUUUUGUAGUCCAAAUGGAGUAUUUUUUGCUAUAUAAUAAAGAAAGAGGUUCUAGCUUAGUUAAAAAAUAAAAAAACAAUCAUAGCAAGUUGGUAAAAUGGAGUCAUAUAGUGGUUGGUCAUCCAAACAAUAUAUAAAUGUGAUAUUUUUUAUAUAGAGUAAUGUGAUAUUAUGACAUAUUAAUACCAAAGUGAAAAAAUCACUAUGUAAAAUUUUCAAAAGUUCCCAAACAGCCCAAAUUCGGUAGAGUAGAAAAAGAAAAAAAAAAAAAAACUGAAUAUAUAUAUUGUGUUCAUUAAAAGCUGCUAAUUUGGACAGCUGUGGUGAAUAAAGAGAUUUUUUUAAUAUUUAAUUUUUGGUAUAUUUUUAUAUUAUAAAACUGGCUUGGUCUGCUUAAUCAUUCCACUACAGCUUGCUAUCUAGAAUAAAUCACUCAAGUUAGACACUCACAACUGCAAGUUUCGCAAUCAAUGCAUUCUUUUGCAUCUUUACUCUGUUUUUGUUCGUGGAUAAAAAUACAUUGGGGAGAGCCCCAAAGACACUUAGUUGGGAAAUCCUAGAUUCGCUGCCACUCGUUAAUUUUAUCUUUUUCGGAUUCACUGCUAUGCAUUAGUUUUGCCUCCAUCUAAUAGUUUAUUGAGUAUUUUAAUACCAAAAUUCACACACAAUUUUUAAAUCUUAGAGAAAAAAAUUAUAAUUCUUAGAUAAAAGUAAAAGUGAUACGUGGCGACAGAUCGAGGCUGUUUAAUGAAGUGUUGUUCAGAAGUUCUUCACUGAAAUUUAAGAGGCAACCGAACUCGCAAAAGAGGUUUAGGAGACACAUUGUACUUUGUUAGAGGUUUGGUAAUUUUAGAUUUAUAAACUAAGAUAAACUUCAAAUUGCCCCCUUUGUGGUUUAACUUAUUUACACUUUUUUCACCCUACCAUGGAAAAUGUUUUUAUUUUAUCCCCUGUAGUUUAAUUUUUAUUUUAUCAAAAAAUGAUAAAGUAAAAAAAUUUUUUUUAAAAAAUUAUAGAGUGGCAAAGUAAAAAAUGAGCUAAAUUACAAAGGGGCAAAGUGCAAUUUCUAGAACUACGGUUGACAAAGUGAAAAUAAGCUAAACCCUGGGUUGGCAAUUUGAAGUUAAGGAGUGCUAAGAUUCAAAUUUAAUUUUUAAUUUUAAAUUCAAAAUAUAAAUUUGAAUUUGAUAUUUAAUUUUAAAUCUAAAAUUAAAUUUGAACUUUGAAUUUCUCUAUCCUGAACUUAGAAACCCCCUAUCUCUCUCUUUCUUUUUUUAAUUUUUUUUUUCACUUGUCAUGUUAUUAUUAUUAUUUUUUAACUAAAAAUCCAAAGCAGUUGGUAAUUUCUACUAUCCUUGGAUUAGGCUCGUAGGGUUUACAACUCUUUUGAGUUGUAGAGUUAGCAUUUUUAAUUUAUAGUUUACCCAUAAAAAUUAAAUUUUUUUCAAAUUUAUUGGGAAUUUUAACAAAUUUAUUGGUUUUAAUCACUUCUAAUAAAUAAAACUAGAAUAAUUAAUAAAAAUUUAAAAAUAAUUAAUUAUGAAAAUAUAAAUUAAAAAAUUUAGAAGUUUUACGAGUGUGAAUACAAAAAUUAGGUAAGAAUUUUUGGACAACCCCUCGAUAUGCCCACAUUUCAAAAAUAGAGCCCUGACCUUUUAUAUCUUUUUUAGAAUUAAGUGAUUUAGUUAAUUUUUUUUUCCAAUUCGGUGGUAGUUUUAUCAAAUUUAAUUGAUUUAAUAACUUCUGAUAAGUAAAACUAGAGUAAUUAGAGCUUAAUAACUAAUAUAGUCAUUGAAUUUGAUAAAAUUUUUUAACAUAACUGAGUACAAAACUCAAAUAAAAAAAAAAAAAGAAGUUGAGGGGGUCACAAUCGAAAAAUAAAAGUUGUAUAGGUUAGGGGGUCUCCAUACUUUUUUACCCAAAUAUAAAAAUGAUGUCGAUUGUUUUUAAAAUACUCUAUACUUGAGGGGGUAUUCAUAAAUUUGGAGUGCGGUGUAUGAGAUGUAGUUAUACACCCGGUGCAGGAAAAUUUCUCCACAUUUAGCCCUAUCUCUGUUCUCCACCGAGGUCGGUAAUCGCCCUCCCAUGUCGCACGAGACAACCUAGACGUAACCCUAACCCUAACCCUAACCCUAACCCUAACCCUAAUCACAAAGCGUACCCAAUUCGAGAGAGAGAGAGAGAGAGAGGGAGAGAGAGCGAGUCAUGGCGAAGCGGAAGGGUUGGGUGGCGCCGUCCAAUUCGCCUAUAAAUAGCUUGGACGAUGGUUGCCUCAUGCACAUCUUCAGCUUCCUCAGCCCCAUCCCCGGUUCGUUUCUCAAAACCCUAAUAAAUGAUACAUCUUUUUAGCUAUUUCGAUGCUGGUUAUCCUUGUGAUUGUUGUAGAAGGCGGAUUUGUAGCUGUGGUAUGGAGAAUUUCUGUUUUUUUUUUUUGUGAUUUCGAUGGUUAAUUUCCUGUUAGGGUUUUUGGUUUUCGAAGCUCUGGUGGAGUUGGUUAAAUAUUGAAUUUUGAUUGAUUUGGUUGCUCCCUGUGGAGGGAAUUGGUGUGUUUUUUAUGAUCUUGUUUGUGCCUACUCUCCUUGGGCUUUGAUUAAAUUGCUGCAAACAAUUUUAGGGCAUGUUUCGUUCUGCGACGAAUUCUGCAAGGAGAGCAGUUUUUUCUGCCACUAUUCUAGGGCAACCAAGAAGGAAUCCGAUUUUGGAGAAUGAAUCUAUUGAUUAGGGUGAUAACUCUAAUGAUAGAGCAUUAUUCCAAUAAAUGCAUAUAAUGAGCGAUAAAGUUUAAUAAUAGCUAGUAGUUUCUAAAUUAUCCAAGAAUAACUCACUUUCAUCAUGGAAAGCACCCCUGAGCUUUUGUUUUGUUUUGUGUUUUUUUUUUUGGGUCCUUUGGUUUUGUUUUGUAGAACAAGGAAUGAUAGAUUGAGCAGUUCCUCAGUUUUCCCCCAACCAAAAAGUAUAUUCGAUAAUUGGAUUUUCAUUGUUGUCGUUAUGGAUGGUUAAUCUUGGGUUUGAAUAAUAGUCGAACAUGAGCAGGCUCUUGUCGAGCCAAUUCUCGAGCCGAAUAUGAGCUGUUCGUGAACAAAAACCGCAAUUGAGAGCCCCAUGUUUUGUGGCUUUACAUUUUGGUUCACCGUCAUGGUCGUCUAUUUUUCCAGAUUUGUGUUAUGGUUAGAGUGAUAUUAUGUUGUAUACAAUUAUGGUGGUUGACGGGCUGUGGUAUCUCUACAAAGGUUUUGUUAAUUUGUGGGAAUGCCCCUGCAAGUUGGUGUUUGGGACCUUGGGUGCAUGCUCUUGAAAAUCGUAUUUAUUUGCAUUCAAGUCUCUACGAGAUGUAUAUGUGCCAAAUCCAUUUUUGUGUAGGUGUUCGACAAGGGUGCAUGCGUAAGUAAGUAAUGUUUUUGGCAAUGAACGUGUCUUACCAAUACUCUGUAGGCGAGUUUUGCACAAUUUUCAUUUUUGCAGUGUGGUAUAUGCAAUAAAAACCUAGUCUGAGAUUUGUAGUGUGCUUCUUUUUAAGACGAGCUUUUUAGCACGUUGGUGGUCAAUUUGCAGAUAGGUAUAACACCGCCCUCGUUUGCCACAGAUGGUGUUUUCUGGCCUGCCACCCUCGACUAUGGCUUCGUGUGGAGAGGCCUAUCAAAGGUGUUGCUGAGCCUGGAGUCUUUCUGAAUCUCGAGGCCGCUAUAUCUGCUGCAAGGUAAGGGAGUUUAGCUUUCUUCCCUUUGUUUUGCAUGAUUGGGCUUUAGAAGAGCAGAAUAAAAAAUAAUUUAGUUUUGUUGAAGGCCCGGCGACACCAUUCUGAUUGCUGCUGGUGGUAACCAUGUUGCCUGCAACAUCCAGAUAAAAAAGCCUCUCUGCCUUGUAAGUUUGAGCCAAUUUGUUUUGUUGAUAAGUCAUUUAAAUACCAUUUCAUUGGAAAAUCAGAGAGUAAAGAAUUUAGGGGAAAAUUGAAGUGGGAAAUAAGUUGAGGAUUAUCAUUAGAUAGGAAAGAAUUGCUGAAAAAAGAAAGAAAAAAAAAUGAGAUGGCAAUUUUGAUAAGCAUAUGAGAGUUUCUGAGUGAAGACUUAUGAGUGUAAAAAAUGCAGCCAGUGGGUUUGAUACUUCUAUUCUUUCUUCUUAUAAAACCUACAUUAAACUAAUAUUUUUGCUGGUCAUUUCUUCGCUUUGUCAUUGGAGAUUUCUAUUGGUAAUCUCAUUUUUCAUUUGGUGAUUUCCUCGUUGAAAUGAUCUUCCAACUGCCGAACAUAUUUGCUCUGAAUCAAUUAUUUGUGGCUCGGACUUGAUUUACGGCCUGUCCAACCAAUGCAAAAGAGAAUUACAAAAUUCUACCAAACCUAAUCUGAGGGUGGGGCAGCUUUUGGGAUGAUGCCUGCAUGGCAGCCUCUUGUCCUUCAUAAAGAAAGCCCCUAUCUGCUCUUCGAGUGCAACCUUGAUUUGAGAGAUCAACGCGUUAAGUGCUUACGAGCCCGGGUAAUCCUUGGCAUAGAGCAUUUCCUCAAUUAAAAUGAAAAUGCUUUUGAUUGAUCACUUGUAGAGUAAUACAUAGAAAACGGUAGUUGAAACUACAUAUAGUUGAUCUUUUGUUUCCACCCACCUCAAUAUAUGAUAUAAAACUGUUUACACUGCUUAUGGUUACUUCGACUUCGCUCUCCUACAUUGGGAAUGGGAUUUUGUUUUUCUUCUUACAACACAUUUAUAAUCUGUUAGCGGACCUAAUAUAAUUAUCUAUUUUGACUCAUCAGCUGGAAUUCUGGACAAAUAAAAUGUGGAUACUUAUUCAAUAUCCAGAACUAAAAAGUGUAAACUCGAGUCGUCAAUUCACAGGACUAGAGAAAUCACAGCUCAAGAAGAUAGCAAGCUUGUAUUAGUGCUCAACCAUGCGAUGCUUUUUGAAGCUCAACCCUGCAGCCAUUGUUUGAAGCCUCUUCAAGUCUCUUCACUUCGCAUUCUGCUACUCUCUUUUUUUCACCAAGCAAAGAAACCCUAGGUUCUUCUACCCAAUAAACGAGGUCUUAUAUAAGCCUCUAUGCGAAUUAGAGAAACUCUCACUAGCAGAGGUAUUUACUCCAUUUAAAAUCCUAACUAUUGUUGACGAAGUGCGGGGAUUUGUGUACAAACUAGAGUCCAAUGGAGAGUUUGGCAAGAAGAGAAGAAUAGUGUAGCAAGUAAAAUACCUCCAUGAGUGUAAUGUUCUAAUGGGCAAUUGCACGAAGAACCGGAGUACCGAACCAACGGUUAAGGCCUUGUCCAUCAAAAUUAUAAAUGGUUUUGUGUGGGAUGUUCUAAUCUUGGUCCUUUUCUUUUUGAUCAGAUAGGUGGAGGUGAACUGCCUGAUGAAACUGUUCUAACUUGUUCUCGUGGCUCAGACAGGUGGGAUUCUUUCAUUUUCUAAGUCUGGCCAUCUUAUUGAUCUUGUUCUAUAUGAUUGAGCCGAGCAAUAGAAUUCAGCCUUUUUAUGGGUUUUUCAUUUUAUUAUGGUAGCUUAUUGUAACUCCUUAUUAUAUUGUGAUUUUCCUAAGCAGCGCUUUGGAGUUCCUUUCAACCUGCAAAAUCGCGAACCUGACGAUCAGGGCUGAACUAGGAUGCUGCCUUCUUCAUCGCAGCGGUCGGCUGACCAUUGAAGGGUGCGUGCUGCAGUGCGAGGAGAACCCGCUGGAUUACCUCUCCUUCCCGAUUGUGAGUACCGCCACCGCAUACCCUUCCCUAAAAAAGGGCCAGCAAGACGAGCACGGACUCACGGUCGCGCGCACGAGGAUCGAGGGGGGCGCGAAGGCUGUCUCGACCAACGGGACUUUGGCGCUGCAGCACGUGCGCGCCAUCUACUCGCGCACCUCCAUCUUCUUCUGGUUUGAAGUUGGCGUAGUGGUAGAUAAAUAAUAUAUAUGCUUCAGUGUUUGCUGCUAGGGUUAGCUUGUGUUUCUAACAUUGUGAUUUAUUCGGAUGCGGAGAACGGUGCUUUGGGUUAUUGGAUGGCAUUUGGUUCAUGUGGAACCAUUAGAGUUCAGUUUGUGUAUCAUCUUUAGUAACCUCGAAGUGCCAUCAUGUAGAUUUGUAUCUGUACUACAAUAGUACAAUGCAGUUGCAUAUAAAUUAUAUGCUGGAUUGGCGGCAGCUGAUCGAUUUAUGCUGUCAUUUGCUGCUGAUACCUGCUGAAUGCUUAUGCCAACGCUCUUUCAGUGAAAAAUGAUAUUAAUAGAGUCAUUUUUACUAGAAAUGGUUAUGUUUUCUAUAUAUCUUGAGCAAAUUCGGUGGAUGAAUAGUAGUGUGAUUGUGUGAAUAUCAACCCUUUGUGUGAUACUUUGGUCCCUACACUGCAAGUAAAUUCUCAGAUAAGAAGCUUUGACUUUUAAGCUCAAAUGUAUACUCCUCACUUUGCCUGGAUUUAGCAUGAUUUGAAUUUAAGACCUAACCACUUGGAAGAUUGGUUUAGGGGUAACAAGCAUAGUUGUUGAAACUGUUUCUAACAUUUUCUCAAAGUUAGUUUUAUUCAAGUUUCUUUCAUAAGAUUCCUUAUUGAGCAUCAUCUUUGGGUAUUUUUAUUUUAAAAAAUCAAAUUAUACUCAUUGACAGUUUUUUUUUGCCAUUUUCGAUUUCACAAUUUUAUCCUCAUAAACUCUUGUGUAUGUAUAUAUCCUUUUUACAAUAUAAAACAUUAGAAUAGAACAACACCAAAAACUAAUGAAAUGUUUUUUGUGUUUCUUUGAUAAAUAAUUAAGGAUAUUUGAGAAGUAGAGAUUUAAAAAAAAAAAAAAAGAAAAAGAAUAAGAAGAAGAUAAAAAAACAGAAAGGAACACAAACCCUGACCAAUGUGAACUUUGUUCCUUGAAAUUUGCACCCAAAAGCUUAUGGGCUUCUUUGAAAUCACUUUGUAUCCUCAAUGAGGUUUCAUCAAGCAAAAGCCUAGCUUUUAAUUUCAUCCUAGUUUGGUAAUGUGGUGAAAAAAAGUGUCAUUUUUAUACUAUAGAAAGCCCAAAAUUCUCAAAAGUGUUUUUAAUUUUCUUUAGAUUACAUGAAUAGUAAGCAGAUUAUGUUCAUAAAAUUAUAAAACUCAGAACACAUGAAGUUUAAAUAGCUUGGAUCAAAUUUAAUAAUACCGAUCACUGAUUCGGAUACUCUAUCGCCAGAAAUUUAAACAAGAGGUAUAUUUAUCGAUCUAAUCACAUUUUAUUUUAGAAAAAUAAUCUUUUUGCUAUAAUAGAUGCAAUCUUAUCAUCCUAUAUAUAAAAUAAUAAAUUUCAAAAUACUAUUCUCAACUGAAUGCAAGUAAAGUAAAUAAAUUAUUUAUAGUUGUACCACUUUAUACCACAUCCUACCAUAAUAAUUAUUAUAUUUUUAGUGGUGAAUUUCAUACAGAUCUCUAGGAAAGUAUCACAUAGCAGAUAAAUCUCUAUAAAACUUAAAUGAUCAGAUUUAUCCCUUUGAAUAUUCUCUGGUUUGUAAAUAUAUCUCUCCAAAAAUUCUUGUUCGUUCAUUGCCAUUUGAUUCACUGUUCAUUUUUUAACGGUGGGUGUGUAAAAUGACUGUUUGCCCUUACAAACUUGUUUCUGCAAAAUGUUAUCUUUCUUUCUCUCUCUCCUAGCUUUCACCGCGGCAUGUGCGGCAUAUCUCAUUUUUGCCGCGACCGAGUGCCUCACCUUUGACGUCGCCGACAUCGUAGGUCUCGCCGUCACCAUGGAUAAAGAGGAGGGGGUGGUGAGAAAGAUAAUGAGACUCACCAUUGGAACACAAGUCAUACUAGUGUAAUAGCUCGCGCGAUACGACAAGUAAGUAUUGUUGGAGACAAAAAUUAUAGAUAAUAAAUUAUCAACAGAAAUAAGAAUAAAUAUUCAGCAUUAUCUUUAUUAAAUUUUACUAUUUCAGAAAAUGAUCAUUUCAAGCGUGUUAAGUUUGAAAAGAAAAAUGAUUAUACGUUUCGAGGUGGGGAAGUGAAAGGACAUGGCGAGAAAGGUUCGAAAGAUGAGAUGAGUCGGUUCAAUUCAAGAAAAGGUGAGAAAGGCGGUUUAAGGAAAGAGAAUAGCUGGUUCAAUGAAGGUAAAGAGUCGGACCUGGAUUGAACCCAAUAACGAGAUAGAAAUCGAUUCAAGAGAGGAGAAGAGCCAAAACUUGUAGACAGAAGGAUGUUUAGAGAGAUUAAUUUGGAGUCCGGUUACAAUGCUAUUGAUCGCACCAAAUACUUGAUGCUAUCAAAUUUUCUGUCGUUAGAUAAACCGCUUGGACCAUUUUCAUCCGUUAGAUUAAACUAUUUAACCAACCACCCACUCAACCCUAGGGGACCACUAUCAUCAGAACCGUGCAUCACUUUAUCCAAAAGUCGAAAACUUAAUAGCACCAAUAACUUCAUGCUAUUAAUGGUAUUCUAGCCUAGUUCGAUAAAUCUCAUAACUUAAAUUUUUUAGAGGUAUAUUUGCUAUUUAAUAUUUUUACAAAAAGCCGUAUUCAUUUAUUCAUAAUUUUAACUACACUGUAUACUUUAUAAAUAAGGACGGAACGAGGAAAAAAAAAAAAAAAAACAACAAGUGAAAUAUGUAUUGGGAUUUGUCCCAAUAAAUAAUUCCCUACUCCAACGGUCGUUGAAAGUUGAAACUCCCUCGAUUUGAUUUUUAAAUGCACGUCCCCAUCUCCCCUUAAAUUCUGGAAGUAGAGGACAUAGUGCAUUAAUUAUCCUCCAUAAAAAAACUAUAUAAUUAUUAUAAAAAUAUUUCAAUUGUCCUUUUUUUUUUUUUUUUUUUGAAUGUUUUGUAAUUAAUCAGAUCUUUAAUGUGAAGAAUUCGCCUCUAUCACACUGGUAUCACAUCAUAAGUAAUAAACUAAUAAUAUAUCUUUUCAUGAGAUAUAAGUAUAAAAAUUAUUUGUUUAUUAAUCAUGAUGGGACGGGUGAAUUCAAAGAAGACAACCUUAUUGGUUGGGAAUGCCAUGUCAGCAAUAUAACGGAUGCAUUCUAUUUUUUUUCCCUCUAAUUUUAACUGUCGAUAAUUUUUGCAGUUAUUCUUAAUUUUUGUAAUUAUUGAUGAGUAACCAAAUAAUUUUUAUAAGUUUAGAUUUAUUUCUGUCAAGUUUAUCUUUUAAUAUUUUGUUGGUUAAAUAUAAGAGAUAAGUUUAAAUCUGGUUCAAUUAUUGUUAUUAGGAUUUUGAUUUAUGACUAUAUAUAGACUUUUCUAAAUGUGUGAAAAAUUAUCCACCAUCAAAAUUUAGUUCAAGAAUAUUUAAUAAAGUUUUAGUUUUAUACUACUCUCCUUUCAACAAGUGGUAUCAGAGCAAAUUACGCUUCCAACAAGUGGUAUCAGAGCAAAUCACGUUUCCAACAAGUGGUAUUUGUGCUAAUACCGAUUAUAUAACUCAAGAUCUAAAAUAAAACAAAAUAAUAUAGAGAAGAGAUAUUGGAGGAGGAAAAAGAUAACUAAACUAAUAAUUUAUUAAUAAAAAAUAAUUAAUUAUAUUCUGGGCAACACCAAUGCAGCCAUGUCUACUAUUACUAAUUCAUCUAAUUAACCCAUGCCUAACUUUAUAUGAUAAAUCGAACUUUUACUUUGAAUAACUACAAAUCUUAACCAUAAUCAAAUAGAAGAUUUAAACUUAUCUGUGACUGUAACUAUAUUUUAAUUAAGUUUGGAUUAUUAUUCCAACAAGUGGUAUCAAAACAAAUCACGCUUCCAACAGUAAUUAAUUUUUAAUUAACUAGGUCCUAAUCUUCUUUUUUUUUUUUUAACUAUUGUUGAUUGCCAUUACUAAUAGGGCUGGCAAACGAGCGAGCCGGCUCGUGUUCGACUCGUGUUCGGCUCGAUAUUCAGCUCGCUCGAGCUCGACUCGAAAUUAAAUGAGCCGAGCUUGAACAAAAUAAAAGGCUCGAAAUUCAUUUCAAGCUAGCUUGGUAUUACAUCGCCGUCACUCGCACUCGAAUUAGGCUCGAAAAAGCUCGAAACAGCUAUGAAAAAAAAAAAAAAAAAUUUAUCAUAUAAUAUAGAUAUAAGCUUGGGGUUAUAUACUAUUAUGAGUAUGAGACCUGCCCUCUGUACUCAUAAAUUUUUAACGUUUGAUUGAUGGAAUUCGUGGUUGGUAUGAUGAGUGUCCCAUGUAGACAUGAUAUGGUCCACCUAGGGUUUGAUGAGGUAGUUGUGGUUAGAAUGUAUGAUCUAUAUGGGAUAAAAUGUAUUAUGGAAUAGAAUCUUAAGGUCGAAAAUUUGAUGCAGUAUAAAGGAGCAAUACUCAUAAAAGAUAUAGCGUUGGACUUAUAUAUAUAUAGAUAUAUAUAUAUAGUAUUAUAUAGUAGGGCGUAGAAUACUUUUACAAGUAUCACCAAGUGAAUACUUGGUGUGUUUUAGCCUUGGAUGGAGAGAUGGUGAGCUUGGAGAUGAUUGGCUGGUAGCGUGGUUGUGAGAGUGGAAAAGUGUUGAUCCAAGCGCUAUUUGUUUAAUCCAAAGUAGAUCCAAUGUCUAAAAAACGUGGAUAGCAACGAAUUGGGGAUGAUAUUAUAAAUAUAAUGCAUUUUAAUUAUAUAUAGGCUUUAAUUAAUUUGGGCUUUAUUGUUUGGCCCAUAAAAAUUAAACCAACAGUUCAAUCGUAAAUUGAGACCAAACUCCUAAUUACAUAACGAGCACUCUCUUCUUUCAGACUUUCACGUUGCAAUAAUGCUAAUAUUAAUAACAUUCAAUUUCCAAAUCCCUACUUUUUUUUCUCUCUCUCUCUCUCUCUCAGACCCUCAUCUAGUCAGGAAGUCACCCUAGCUCACAUUUCUUAUAAUUAUUUUGUAUUUUGAACUAUUGGACAUGUUGCAUCAAAUUGUAGGUAAUGUUCUAUAAAAAUUAAACUAUUUAUUAUAUAAUGUCAAGAAUUUCAAUCGGCUCGUUUAGAGCUCGAGCUCGGCUCGACUCGAAAUUAGGCUCGCUCGAGCUCGGCUCGAAUUAAUUUCAAGCCGAGCUUGAGCCUAGAUUUAGGCUUGAAAUUAAUUUCAAGCCGAAUUUGAGCUGACAUAAGCUCGCUCGAGCUCGGCUCGUUUCCACCCCUAAUUACUAAUAAGCCCCUAUUGUAAAUAGAUUGGGAUUUAACCCAUUUAGGGCCCGAUCGAUGAGUAAUUCACAAUUUUAUGUCGGAAUCGUAUAAUAGAGAAUAUAUCGUAAUCGGCUUAUCGCGAUAUACACAUGCAACGUGAUAUUAUAUGCUGCACCUAAUGCAGUCUCUCUCACAAUACUAAACAGAGCUUAAAUAUAAUGCAUUAAACGUCAAAGCAGGAGGUUCAAAUUCACAAUCUCACAUAACGAAAGGGAUUUAGAAUUACUUCUGACACCAUAUUAUUCCAAAGAUGGAACGACUUACGAGAUGAAACACUGCAAGUGGUGGAGAUGAGAUUCUGGAUUCCCAUCCAUCUGUGUCCCCUUCCCCACAUCAGAAAAUCUACUUCCUUUAAAAAAAAAAAAAAAAAAAAAAAAAAAAACAUACAUAAGGUAGUGCUAAAAUGCUAAAAUAAUUGAAUGCGUCUUUUUAGCUAAUAUACAUAUGCUCAAAUUUAUAUUUUAAUAAAGGCUAAAUAAAUUAUAGAAAACAUUUUUCGUAGCUACUUGUUUUUUCACUUUUUUUUCCCUAACUUAAAAAAUUCUAUAUUUUUUAUCCCCUCAACAUCAUUUAGCUCCCCUUCGUCAGGAUUCCAUCACUAUUCCGGUCAUUUCUUAUAAUUUAUAUUGAAAAUAUUCUUCAAAAUAACAAAAAAAUAUUAAAAAAUUAUUUUUUUUUUCUUAUAGAAGAAGUAAGAGCAAUGUGGUCAUUUUUUCUGAAAAUAUUUCUAAAUUUUUUUUGAGAGAAAGGUAGUAUACUAUCCGCUUCGUUUAUUUAUUUUAGAAAUAAACUUAUCUAAAAAUAUGAAUCAAUUAGGAUUUAAACUUGGGACCUCGGUUACCAAUCAUCAAAUUUUUUGCCACCUGCGCUAGAGACAAUUAAUAAUAUUUUUAAAAUUUUAAGAGGGUAAGAUGUAAGUUUUUGAAAGUCAGAAAGAAAAAAUAAAAAAAAAUAUUUAUAAAAUUUUGUUUUUGUAAUUUAGUCUUUAAUAAAUUUAUAUUAUUCUAAUGUAAUUCCAAACAAUGGAAGAUCAAUUUUUUUCCAACAUGGUGGCCAAAGACUGCCUACAAGUUGCAAAAUCAAAUGCAAUUAUAUGGAGACAAGGUUGGUAAGCAGUAGCUAUCUAUAUCUGGCCAAUUAGUGCAUGUUGAAAAAUUUUUAGUAAUUUGAAAAAUGUUUCAUGCACACCUAAUGUACCUAGGGCUCGCAAUUCAGCUCGCUAUUCGCGAGCCAAUUUAUGUUCGGUUUGAAAAAAGUUCGAGAUCGAUUGCUCGUUUAAUAAAUAAGUCGAACAUGAGCUAAAUAUUUCAACUUGCGAUCUGGGAUCACCUAAUAGUAGGGCCGACAAUCUAACUUGUUGUUUCGCGAGUCAGUUCAUGUUCGACUCGUUAAUAAAUAAGCUGAACACAAACUGUAUCUUUCAGCUCGAUAUUUUGACGAACCAGCUCAUUUAUGGCUCGUUUGAGUAAAAAUGAGCCGGCACUAACUCACUCGUAUUUGGCUUGUUGGCGGUCCUAACUGUAUCAAAUGAGUGUGUAAAGUAAACACACAAUUAAACCGAAUAGUACAGUAAUAUUUUUAGCGAACUAUAGGGCGUUACAAUAUAUAUAACUUUUUAUCCUUCUAUAAUCUGUAUUUCACUAUUCUGUGAUUCGUAAAAAUUUGUAAAAAUAAAGUGUCAUUUUGUUGCUCUAUCUAAUAGUAGGUCUUCACAAGAUAAAGUUAACAUGCGAAUCCUAAAUUUUAUCCAAAUCCGAAUGCGAACGGAGCGAAUUUAUUUGAUACUAAACAGAUAUAAUUUUGAAAUAUAAAAUAAGAAAUACAACAGAUUUGGAUUCGAAUAUAAAUUUUAUCUGUACCCAACCCGAAACCGAAUCCGAACCCGAACCUAAAUUAAUUGAUUUUACAUUAUAUAAUAUAUAAAUAAAUGUUUGAUGUUAUAUUUGUACUUCCAUUUUAAAAUUUUAGAUUUAAUGUAAUAUAUUUUGAUAUAUGGUAAAGAGAAAUAAUUAUUUCGGGUUUGGAUUUUCUGCUUUGGGUUCGAAUUUUAAAUUUUGACCGGGUUCAAAUUUAUAUUCGAAUUUCGACUUUAAUAGUCGGGUUCGGCUAGUAUUUCUAAAAGUCCGUUUCGAAUCUGGCCCGCUGACAUCCUUAAGCUUGUAUGUCAUUCAUUUCGAUUGGACUCAUCGAAAGAUUAUGAAUAAAAAUGAAACCAUUAAUAAGAGGAGGCGAGCUGUCACGCAAAAUGCCACAUGCGAAAUGGAAACUCUAUUCCAUAGUAGAUGAAUGCCCGAGGAUGUGCCCAAAUAUGCCAUCUUAUUGUGGAAUUAGAGGUUUACCUGUGGUAGGAACCGCGCGCGAUAAAAAGGAAGCACCAAUCGUAUUGCCUGUGAGCAGUGAGUGCCACUGAGCGAGCCACAAUGCGCUCCGCAUUAGAAUGUUAAAUAGAAAGAAGAGUCGCACUAUGUGACGUAGACUCAUGAAAAGGCCAAGUUAGCAGGCCUGUUAAAUAGAAAGGUUUUGAAUAUGGGCGUGGAUAACCCUAAUUCUAGUCGUUGGCGGAGAUCGUCGACAGUAAGGGUGUUCGUGAUGGGGUGUUGGAGUGGCACCCUAUGAACCCUCAUGUAAAAAAACAGUUAUUUACACUUGUUUUUAUAUUAAAAAGUUGAUGUACUAGACGUGCUCUUCAAAGUUAUUUAAUAUUUUACACCUACAACUGAGGAAAAAAAUAAAUUAAUGAGACACGUGAAUGUUAGUGGUAAGUAAAAUCAUAGAAAAUUCACUUUUUCUUACCUAUGUUGAGACACCUUAUAAUGUUGGGUUAUUUGCAUACAUGUUCCUGCAAACAUAGUAAAUUACGGAAAUAUUUCUACAAAACGGAAACUCUAUAAGUUGUCCCUGCAAAAGUCCUAAGUUAUGUAGAUAUGUCUCUCCGGUUAACAUCCGUUAGUGAUUUGUUUAUUUUUUAACAGUGGAUUCAUGAAAUGACCAUUUUAUCCUCACAAAUAUAUCCCUCCAAAAGUUUUCCUCUUUCCUUCUCUUUCUCUUCCUCUUUGGACCGUUGAAGUAGACGACGGCGGCGGCGGCGCGGGGUCAGGUUCGCUGGCGACGAAGAAGAGGGAAGAACGCCGGGGCACCGGAGCUCUACCUGGAGCUCGUCGCCCUCAACGCCGUCCCCUCCCUCGUCGGCCUCCUCGGCCACGACAUCGCCGACAUCGUCGUCGACGUCGUCUCCCUCUUCACCGACCUCACCGACGCCGACGUCCUCGGUGACCACGACGACCCCAUGCACGCCCUCGUCGCCGCCCUCGUCGACAACAACGCCCUCGAGCUUCUCGCCAAGAAACUCGCCCGCCUUUCCGAGGCCGACCCCGACGAGGUUCUUCUCCCUCGUCGGUGACGAAGAAGAGGGAAGAGGAAGAGGAAGAGGAAGAAGAAAGAAGGAAGAAGAAGGGAAAAGAGGAAGAGGGAAGAGGAAAAGGAAGAGGGUUCGCCACCGUCGCCGCCGUCGCCGCCGCAUCUCCUUGCCGGCAACGAAGAAGAAGGAAGAGGAAGAGGAGGAAGAGGAAAAAGGGUAAAUACGUCAAUUUACACUUUAAUUAACCAUGGUUAAGUAUUUUAACCAUAGUUUAAAAAAAUUUUCUAACAGAUCUGGACGGCAGGAACAUAUCUGCAUAACUUAGGACUUUUGCAGGGACAACUUAUGGAGUUUCCGUUUUGUAGGGAUAUUUUCGUAAUUUACUAUGUUUGCAGGGACGUGUAUGCAAAUAACCCAAUAUUGUUUUACAGGUAAAAUUUAUAAAAUUAAAAUCUUUUCCCUUUAUAUAAAUAUAUAUAUAAUGCCUAAAAAGCUUAUAUAAAAAGUUGUUUUAAGAUUUGUUCCUAAAAUAUUGAAUAGCAUAUUGAUAUGGAUAUUAAAAAUAAAAAUUCUAUAAAUUUUAACAUUACCUGAUCCGAAUCAGAUCCGAACCCGAAUUGAUUUUAUAUUAUAUAUAUAUAUAUAUAUAUAUAUAUAUAUAUUUAUAUUUGAUGUUACAUUUAAAUUUAUAUUUUAAAAUUUUAGAUUUAUACUGUAAUAAGUUUUGAAAUAGUAUAAAGGAAAACAAUUGUUUCAAAUUCAUAUUCAAAUUUCGGAUUUGAUUGUCGGGUUUGGAUUCGAGUUUUUACAAAUUGGCUCCGAAUCCACGUUGUUGACAUCCCUAUUCAUGUGUGAAAUUAACAAAAUUAACGACUCUUUGACGGCGAUGAAUCGGAAGGGCAUGCGUAAUAAUUUUGCAUAUGUAAAAGGGUCUUUUUGAUAUUUUACACUUUACGGCCCACGAGGGAGUUGUACGAAAUUUCGAGUUUCAAAGGGGCACCGUUGAAAUUGUCCCGUACGGAAAAGUCUCGUGUAACGGUUGUGUAUCACGGUUUCUUGUGGGCCCCACCAGAAAAUCUGAACGUUACGACCGCUUUAAAAUCUACGCGUUUUGCCGCGUACUCCGUUGGAAAUUUGGAAAGUGAAAAUAAAAUAUAAAUAAAGGGAAAAUUUCAAAUACCACCGCCUAGUUUCACAUUUUUUACUUUAGUAUCUUAUAAUUUAAAUUACGUCCGCUUUAAAAUCAACGCGUUUUGCGGCGUACUCCGUGGGAAAUUUGGAAAGUGCGAAUAAAAUAAAAUAAAGGAAAAACUUCAAAUACCACCUCCGUGGUUUCGCAUUUUUUAUUUUAAUAUUUUGUAAUUUAAAGUGUAUCAAUUUAGUACCCUGUGAUUUCGCACUUUCUCAUUUUAGUACCCUUUGGUUUAAAGUGCAUCAAUUUAGUACCAUGUGGUUUCAUUUUUCUCUUUUCGUCAGUUUCUUUGUUAAUAUUUCGUUAAAUUAUAUACAAAAAACUUCAGACACCCGACUCAGGUUUAUCGAAUAUUUACUUUAGUACCAUUUAAUUUAACUUUAUCACUGAUUUCUUUUUCCUCCGUUAAUAUUUUGUUAAAUUAUAUACGAAAAACUUCAGAUGCCCUACGUAGGUUUAUCGAAUAUUCACUUUAGUACACUUUAAUUUUAACUUUGUCACUGAUUUAACGCAAAAAAUUAGUGAAAUGGAUAAUAAAAAAAAAUAAAAUCAUAAUGUACUAACUUAAUAUAUUUUAAACUAUAGGGUACUAAAGUUAUAAAGUGUGAAACCACAGGGGCUAACUUGAUAUACUUUAAACCACAGGAUACUAAAAUGAGAAAGUGUGAAUCCACGGGAAGGUAUUUGAAGUUUACCCUAAAAUAAAAUAAAAUAAAAUAAAGAGUUAAUUUCAUACAGGUCCCUACAAAUAUAGUAAAUUAUAAAUAUAUUUCUAUAAAAUUCAAUUUUCAUACGUUGUCCCUACAAAAGUCUUAAUAUUUUCAAAUAUGUCCUUAUGGUUUGUUAUCGUUAAAAUACUAUUUAUUUUAUAAGUAAAAUGACCUUUUUGCCAUCACAAAUAUGUCCCUCCAAAAGUCCCAACUCUUAAUUGAAAAGGAAUAGAAAGGUCAAUUCACCUCAUUAAUUAAUUAGGGUUAAAUAUUUUAUCUAUGGUUAACUAAUUUUUUUUAACGAAUUCUAACGGUAGGGAUAUAUUUGAAAAUAUCAAGAUUUUUGUAAGGGCGACAUAUGAAAGUUGAAUUUUGUAAGGAUAUAUUUACAAUUCACUAUAUUUGUAGGAAUCUGUAUGAAAUUAACCCUAAAAUAAAAUAAAAAUGUGUGGAAACCCCCUCAAUUCUAAGCGAUUUUGAAAUUGGUACCUCAACUUUAUUUUUCCUGGAUUGAUGCUUUCUAAAUUUUUAUUUUUUUUGACAAGUGAGUAUUGUUUUUAUCAUCUAAAAAUUAGGAACUUUAUCGUGAGUGUCUUUAUUAAAUUUUCCCUUAUAGGUAGCUUCGUAGUUUCUCACUUUGUCUCCCUAUGAUUUAAAGUGUAUCAAUUUGCCCCUCUGUGGUUUUGUUUUUAUCUUUUCGGUAGCUUUUUCGUUAACAUUUUGUUAAAUUAUAUACAAAAAACUUCGAAUACCCAUCUAGAUUUAUCAAAUAUUCACUUUAGUACCCUUUAAUUUUAACUUUAUUACUGAUUUAAGGAAAAAAAAUAAUAAAAUUGAUAAGAAAAAAAGAAAAACAAAACCACAUGGAGGCAAAUUGAUAUAUUUUAAACCACAGGGGGGCAAAGUAAGAAACUACGAAACCACAUGGGGGGUUUUUGAAGUUUUCCCUUAAAUUUAAUAGUGUUGAUUACACUUCAGCUAAUAAAAUAAGGAUAUUUAAUAACUAAUAGCUAAUAUAAUACUUAACUAACUUAAAAAAAACUUAAAUAAACAAAAUAAAAGUUGAAUGGCCUCCAUCAAAAAGUUAAAAAUUUCUGUUUCGACUAGUUUAUUAAUAAGCUGAAUACGUGCUGACGCACGUGAACAACAAGUUAACUUGUCGGCCAUAUUACUGGAUGAAAAAUUAAAAAAAUGUAAAAAAAAUUAGAAUCUUAAUUUAAUAAUUGAAAUUCAAAAAAUAUAAGCAUUUUUACAUUUGAAUUGGUCUAAAUCUAAAUUUCAAGUUGUUAUAUUUAGCCCCUCUCUAUCAGGGUUCCAUCACUAUUUUGUCCAUUUUUUAUAAUUUAUACUGAAAAUAUCAUUCAAAAUGACAGAAAUAUAUUUAAAAAAUUAUUUUUUUUUUAUAUAAGAAGUAAGGGCAAUUUGGUUAUUUUGCCCUCUCCAUUAACACCGUAUCAUCUUGAAAAUAUUUUUAAAAUUUUAAGAGGGCAAAAUAUAUAUUUUUGAAAGUUAAGGAGGGAAAAUAAAAAAACGGAUAUUUACAGAGAAAUUUUCUAUAAUUUACCCUUUUUUUAAUCUGCAUUAUUAUACUUAGUUGAAUUGUUAUUAACUUUAAUGAUUUUGUUAACUGCUACAUGUUAAUUGAUCUAAUUUUAUUUGCUAAAGAUUAAUUAAAAUUAUUAAUUUUAAUGAAAUUAUCAAUAUAUUUAAUAAAAUUUUAAUUUAUUUGACUAAAAAUCACUUAAUUCUGAAAAAAAAUAGAAGCUACGGGGUUUUAAAAAAUAAAAUUGAACAAUAUAGGCCAAUUUGCAUAAAAAGCCCACUUAUUUUGGGCAAUUGCAAAACCAGGCCACCUUUUUCGUUUUUGCAGAUUCAGGCCAAAUUUUUAGCAAACUGACAAAAAUACCCUUAUUACUUUUUUUCUCUCCUCUUUUUUUUUUUUCUCUCGUUCUUUUUUUCUCUCUUCAAAGAAGGUAGCGGAGGCGGAGGCGGAGGCGGAGGCGAAAACAACUCGCCUCGCCUCCGCCCCGCACGCCCUCGCCCUCGCCCUCGCCCGUGCAACCUGUUCUCCUCACCUCCGACCUUGCUGAGGCCGCGCCGCCACCGUUCUUCUUCACUAGGGCACGGCGACAUCGAGACGCAGGCUCUUCUUCUCCACCGCGCGUCGGAACGCCAAGACGUCGUCGGAGGCGGCAGGCGGCGAGAUCGCCUCCGACGACGUCGCGGUGGUUGCGAUAGAAAGUAAGGAAGAGGUGGUAACAAAAAAAGGUUAUAGAAAAAAAAAUAAUAAUAAAAAACAAAAAUAAAAAUUAUUUUUUUCCUACAGAAAAGAUCAAAAAAUAAAGAAGAAGAAAGAAAAUGAUGAAAAUUAUACUCUUAAAAUAANGGCGGAGGCGGAGGCAGAGGAAGAGGCGAAAACGGCCCGCCUCGCCUCUCACCCUCAUGCCCUCGCCCUCGCUCUCGCCCGCGCACCCCCCCCGCCUCCCUUGCCUCCGACCCCCUGCCGAGGCCGUGCCACGACUCUUUUUUUUUCCCUUUCUCCGACCCUCCUCUACCGUCUCCGACAAAAACGCCUCUCUUGCCCACUCUCGUUUUUCCCCGCCCUUCUCGUCCUCUUAUUUUCUCUCCUUCUCCGCCGCCUCUAACGACGACGUAUCUUCGCCGACGCCGAUACUAUGGAGGUCACGCGACACUGCAACCUUGGAGCGAGAGGUCCUUAGUAGCGUCGUCGCCAGCGCCGGCGACGUGACCGUUAGCAGAGACGGGUGAAAAAAAAAAUUAAAGAAGGAAGAAGAAAAAAAUAAAGAUAAAGAAUUAUAAAAAAAGAAAGAUGAAGAUGAAAUUGUAUCGUUAAAAUAAAAUUACAUUAUUUUAAAGAACGUUGCACUAUUAUGGAUAUAAGUUGCACUACUUAAGAUGUAAACUGCACUAUUUAAGAUGAAAAUUACACUAUUUAAACGAAAAUUAUACUCUUUGGGAGAUAUUUACACUGUUUCUCCUCUUAUUACACUCUUUGAGAUGUAAACUAUAUCUUUUAAGAUGAAAGUUACAUUCUUUAAAGAAAAUUUACACUUUUUGAGAGAUAUUUAUACCAUUUCUUCUCUUGUUGUACUCUGUGAGCUGUAAACUACAGAUUUUAAGAGAUAUUACACUAUUUCUCCUCUUGUUGCACUGCUUCUUCUUUUGUUGCACUAUUUCUACUCUUAAAGAGUGCAACAAAGGAAGAAAUAGUGUAACAAGAGAAGAAACAAUGCAACAAAGGGAGAAACAGUGUAACUAUCUCUUAAUGGUGCUGUUUACAUCUCAAACAGUGCAACAAAGAAAAAAACAGUGUAAAUAUUUCUCAAAAAGUGCAACUUUUGUUUUAAAAGUGUAACUUUUAUCUUAAAGGAUAUAGUUUACAUAUCAAAGAGUGUAAUAAGAGAAGAUACAAUGUAAAUAUAUUCCAAAGAGUGUAAUUUUUAUUUAAAAAAUAUAAUUUUUAUUUUAAAGGGUACAGUUUACAUCUUAAAUAGUGCAACUUAUAUCCAUAAUAGUGCAAAGUUCUUUUAAAAUAGUGCAAUUUUAUUUUAACAGCGCAAUUUCAUCUUCAUCUUUCUUUUUUAUUUUUGGUCAUUAUUUUUUUCUUUUUCUUUUUCUUUCUACUACAAUUUUAUUUUUGUCACCCCUGUUUGUCAAAGAUCAUGGCGUCGGCGACGCCGUCGCUAAGGACCCUCCGCUCCGAGGCUGCAGCGCCGCAGCGACCUCCGCAGCAUCGGCGUCGGCGAAGAUGCGUCGUCCUCGGAGGCAGCGGAGGAGGAGGGAGAAGGAGACGACGAAAAAGCCGGGGAAGAGCGAGAGAGAAGUUGUAGUCGGAAACAGUGGAAGAGGGUCAGAGAGGAAAAAAAAAAAAGAGUUGCGGUGCGACCUUGGCAGGGUCGGAGGUGAGGAAGGCGGGGGUGCGUGGGCGAAUGCAUGAGAGUGAGAGGCGAGGCGGGCCGUUUCCACCUCCGGCUUUGCCUCUUCCUUUGCUGCCUUCUUUGGCGAGAGAAAAAAAAAAUAAACGAGAGAAAAAAAAAAGAGAGAGAGAGAGGAGAGAGAAAAAGUAAUAAGGAUAUUUUGAUCAGUUUGCAAAUACUCAAAAUUCGUUAUUUUUUUAUACAACUUGGCCUUUUUUUUUAAUACUAAAAUUUUAAUUUUUUUAAAAUUCUCGAAUUAAUGAAUGCAAGAUGUGCAUUUCAUUUUAGAGUGUAGAGAUAAGAUUUUUUUAAUUUUAUAUCCCCUAUGCUGUUCCCUGUUUUGAAAUUGCCGCAUAAUCUUUUAUUCUUAUGACUUGCGCUCUUUGUAUAAUCAAUUUUUCUUAAUAAAAUCUCCGUGCUAUCAAUUUUUCUCAAUAAGAUCACUCCAUCAGUAAAACUAAUUGAAAAUUUAAUUCCUGACAAUAAGCCGUUUAGAUUUAGUACAACUGCGAAGGGCCCACUUUUCGAGGGGUCGCAUAUUCUAAAACUACUAUAGUCCUAACAUACUUAAUCGUUUUAAUAUUUUUGAAUCUAGUCAUCGUCCAAAAUAUUAUAACUAGAUUAAGAGAUUUAGUUAUAUUAUAACUUAUACAUAACAUUAUUUCAAAUUCUGAGAGCAUCACGACAAUAUCGAUGAGUAGGAAAAACAAAUGGAUUGCAUACAAUAAUGAUGGUGGGAAAAAGAUAGAAGCGAAGCGGGAUCUUUCCUAAAUAUUUUUUCUAUUAUAUUAUUUAGAAAAAAAUAUUGUAUAGAGACCCCAAAACUCUAGCUUUUAAUUUGGCUAUGAGACUCUUAAAUUUUAUUAAAUAGUUUAAUAUGCUUCCCUUCUUAACUAAAAUUAUUAAUUAUAUAGUUGUUUUGAUCACAUAUUAUGUACAUACCCUUAGAAAGUUUUAAAAUAUAAAAAAAUUAUUUUUCUAUUCUAACAUAUGAAAAAAAAAAAAAAUCAAAGUGCCCUCAAUAAUCAUGCCUAACUAGUUAAGAUACCCGCGUAAUGAGGCGGAUAGUUAAUAUUAUAUUUAAUUUAUAAUUAAUAUUAGAAAGUAUAUUUUUAGUUAAAUAAUACAAUAUUAAUAAAUUGUCAUUACUUAAAAAUAUUUUUUUUCACUGCUAAAUAAAUUUCAGAAUUAGUAUUCAAGCAAAAAUUCAAUAUAGAGAAGCAAAAGAAAAGGAGAAAAAAGAAUAUUUUUUUUUGUUCACAGAUAAAAUAAUAUUUGACAAAAAUUAUAUUAUUGAGAAUAUAUAAUUAUAAAGUGUUCGCGGUUCACGUCCGAAGUAAAAUAUUAUCGAUAGUUGAAACUUAAUAAUUUAAUUCCGCAAACUAUUAAGAUAAUAGAAUAAUUUAGAAAAAAAAAUGAGCGAGUUCGGUUUAGAGUGUGGUGCUUAUACAAAUUAAUACAAUCAUUCAACGUGGAGCCCUCACUCAACAAAAAAAUCGGUUGAAAGAUGGAAACUAUGAAUCAAUUGGUCUGGUUCGGUCCAAUGAAGCAAACCAGUUCAAGGAAAAAAAGAAGGCAUCAGUUUGGCUUAGGCAGAAAAAAAAAAGGGAAACUUAAGCCAGUUUAGGGUAGAGGCCUCACUCAACUAUAAUCGGAUCGGUUCAAACAAUUAAAAAGAAAAUACGGUUCAAAAAUGAAAACGUAUAAAACAAUUGGUCUGGUUCAGUCCAAUGAAGCAAUUUGACUCUAUCUGGUUUAAGUAAAGACAAAGGAAAACCAUGUUUGGUUCAAGUAAAAAAAGGUAAAAUUAUUUGGAGGACUUGAGCCUGUUCAGGAUGACACUCAUACUUGACAACCCGGUUCGGUUCAAGUAAAGAAAAAGAAACCGGUAUAGCCCACAACCAACAACAUUGAAGAAAAUGCUGUCAUGUGGCAAGAUUUUGGAGAAAUAAUGAAUAGUAAUAGAUAAUAGAUAAUAGACAAUAGAUUACUAGAACCAUAAGGAAAAAAAUAUUCUUUGCGUUUCGAAAUUAUCGAAAUUGCAAGAUAUGCGAUCGAAAUAGUUAUGUGAAUUAAACUUUUUUAAUAUAGUUUAGGAGGUCUAAUUGUUGAAAUUAAAAAUUUGAAGGUUUCUGCUCUCAUGGGUCGGAUUCCGGACAGAUUUUCAAAAACACAAACCCGAACCCGACUCCAAACCCAAAACCUGAAUCCGACCAAAAAUUUGAAACCCGAACCCGAUCGGGAACCCAAAAAUUUGAACCUAAAAAGAUUAUUUCUCAUUUCAAUAUUUCAAAAUAUAUUAUAUUAAAUCUAAAUUCGAAUCCGGCCAAAAAUUCGAAUCGAAAUCCGAACCUGAGCCAGACUCCAUAUCCAAACUCGAAUCCCACCAAAAAUUCGAAACUUGAACCUGAAAAUCCGAACCUAAAAUAAUUAUUUCUCUUUUUAAUAUUUCCAAAUAUAUUGCAUUAAAUCUAAAUUUUUAAAAUACAAAUUCAAAUAUGACAUCAAAUAUUGAGCUAGACUGGUAUACUAUCGGUAGCACGGAGGCCUCCGUGCUACCAAGUUGUUUUCAAUGAUGCGGCUUCCAAAUCAACGAUCAGUUUCGUUAGACUUGAUCUACACUAUUGAAAGUAUUUGGAAACUAAAUUUCAUAAUUUUUCGGCAUCAUUUACCUAUCAAACGAGCAGUAUAAAAAUGAACGGCUGAAAAUAAAAAUCUCAUAAAAAAAUGAUGAUAAAAGAUUUGAAUUUAAGAUCAGAGGUACUAAUCUUACUCUAAAUAGUGAAAAAAAAAUUUAUAAAAAUUUCAUCAUAUUUGGAUUGUUUUACACCGUUAAAUUCACAAACGCAUCACAUCUACCAUUAAAAUUGUCAAUUUUGAGACUUUUUGAUCACUAGACAAAUGAUGCCAGAAAAUUAUGAAAUUUAUUUUCUAAAUACUUUUAACAGUAUAGAUCAAGUCUAACAGAGCCGAUCGUCGAUUUGGAUGCCGCAUUAUUGAAAACAACUUAAUAGCAUGGAUCCCUCUAUGCUACCGACCUAGUAUACCGGCCUAACUCUCAAAAAUUUAUAUACAUACUAUAUAUAAUGUAAAAUAAAUUCGGGUCGGGUACUAUCAAAAUUCAUACCCAAAUCCAAAUCCGUCGAUUUUUUUUUUUUGAUAUCGUAUUCGAAACUAUGUCCAUUUAGUAUCGGAUAAAUUUAUUUUGUUGGGUUCGGGUUUGCAUAAAAUUUUGGAUAUCCGCACCUAUGGACAUUCCUACUUUCUACAUAUAUGAUAAAGUUUAGGGGUCUCACUGCAUUUUUACCAUAUAGUUGGUAACUUGGGAUUAUUACUCCGAGAUAUCGCAAUACGGAGCCCCGAUAAAUAAAAUAAAAUAAAAUAAAAUAAUAUAUUAGGACAAAUAAUAUAAUAUAAUAUAAUAUAAUAUUAGAUAUGCCUCUUAAUCUCAAGACAAAAAGGUGAAAAAUACACGGAGACCCCCUCAACUCUAGUUGAUUUUGAAAUUAAUCCUCAACUAUUUUUUUUUGGGUUUGGAAUUAAGUGAUUUUAGUUUACAAAAUUAAUUUUUAAUAAUAUAAAAUUAGACUAAUUGGUGAUUAGUGACUAGUAGAGUUAUUAAGUAUGAUAAGUUGUGAGAUAACCAAGUAUAUAAAAACUCCUAUAAAAAAAUAGCAAUUAAAAAAGGCAAACCAAAAGGUCGACCCCCCUCGACUAUACGUCAUUCUGAAACAGGCCCCUCAAGUAUUUUCUUAAUAGAGAUUUAAUUUUAAUACUUAAUUAUGUUAAAAUUUCUACCAAAUUUAGUAAUUUUAUUAGUUAUUAGUUAUUAAUUAUUCCAAUUCUAUUUACUAAAAUGUAAUAAAGUCAUAAAUUAAUGAAAUUAUCGACAAAUUAAUAAGCCCUCCAAGUUUUGAGGUACUAAAAUAAAUUAUAUUAAUUAUCCUUCUAUAUUUUAUUAUUAUUUCAAAUAGGUCCAACUAUUUAGAAUAAUUAUUGAAUUCAGUUAUAAAACUUAGUAAAUAUAAAUUGUAUGUAAAGUUAUUUAUAAUUAAGCAAGAGAAUCAUAUAAAUUGAAUAAAUAGGAGAUCUCCUUUUUUUAAUUUUUUAUAUAUUAUUAGAGUUACAAAUUAGAUAUAUAUUGUCAUGUGGAUUAAUGUAUAUACUAACUCGUUUAAGUAGAGUUUUACAAUCUAAUUAUUUAAAUUUUAAUAUUUUUGAAUCUAUUUGAGAUGAUGAUAAAGUAUGGGGUGGUAAUUGAAUUUUUUUAAUACAUAGUAAUGUAAUUGAGACUGGGGUACCGAAACUAGACCUUGGGUUGAAGUGGAGUUUGGUUAGGGCAUGUUUGGUUACUCGAAAGUCAGCAAAGUGGAAAAAGUGACUUUUAUAAAAGUAAUUUUUUAGUUCAAUUGUUUGGUUGCUAUAAAGUAAAAAAUUAACUAUAAUUAUAUAUAUAUUUUUUAUUAAAUUAUAUAUAAAGAUGUAAAAAUAUAAACAAACGACUUAUACUUGCAAUUUAAAUUAAAAAUUUAAGACAUAAAUUUAAUUUACAAUUUGAAUUUAAAAUUUAAGUUAAAACUUAUAAGUGAAAUUAAAUUUUAAAAUAAAAGAUCAACACAAAAAUUAGAAAAUUUAUUCAAAUUUGAAUUUAUAAUUUGAAUCAUAUAUUAAUUUACUUCUUGAUCUUAAAUUCUGAAUUCAAAUAUGAAUUCAUAAUUUAAAUUAAUAUUUAAAUUUAAAUUAAAAUAUGAGUUUAAAUCACAAUUCGAAUCAAACAUUUGAAUUCAUAAUUUGAAUUCAAAUUCAGACUGAAACUCAUUAUUGAAGUUAAAUGUAAAUAACAAAUUUGAAUUUAAAUUUUAACAUGAAAAUUUAAGUUUUAAAUUUAAAUUUCAGUCAAUAAUUUGAAUUUAUACUUGGAACAAUUUGAAUUCAAAUUUCAAAUUGAAGUUCUUAACUAAAAAUAAUUUGAUUAAAAUUUAAAUUUAAAUAUAAAUUUAAAUUCUAGAAUUCAAAAUAAAAAUUAAAAAUUUAAAUUUAAAUAUAAAGUCAUAAAUUUGAAGUUAAAAUUUUAUGUUGAAUUUUAAUUCACAAAUAAAAUUCAAAAUGUGAUCAUAAUUUUAAUUCAAAUUUAAAGUGAAAUUAAACUUUAAAAAUAAAUUUAAAUAUUAAAGUUAAGAACUAAUAUAUCAUCUUAGUUAAGCUUUCCACUUUCGAUGAUUUUGAGCCGAAGUCAAAAAAGUGAGAUUUAGUUAUAACUCACUUUAUCAGCCUACUUUCGUAAAGUAACUUUUAUAUUCACUUUUGUAAACCAAACAACCGAUAAAACCUCACUUUCUAAAAGUAUCAUUUUCGAUACUACACUUUCGGUAAACCAAACAUGCCCUAAAACUAAUUUUACUCUGCUGUUUAUUUUGCAUAAAGUGAAUAAUGUAAAACUAUAAUUUAUUUAUAAAUAAUAAAUAACUUAAUAAAUAAUAAAUAAUAAAUAAUAAAUAAAAAUAAUAUAAUUAUCUUCCUAUAUAAUUAAAAAAAUAAUUUAAAAUAACUAAAUUAUUUUUUAUACAUAAAUUAUUAUAAUACAAUAAUAAAAUUAUAAAAUAAAAAAAUAUAAAUACUUAGCUAAUCAUAUUUUAUAUAUACAAACUAAAUGAAGGAAAUAAUAAAACUUAAUUCAUCAAAUCUUAUUAUAUUUUAAGUAUACAAACUAAAUAAAAGAAUAAUUAGUUCCAUAAUUAAUUAUAUUUAAAUAUAACUAGCAUAACUCAUUGUAUUAUUUUAUUUUUCACUUCGUCUUUCUUCACCAUAAUUGACUUCGGCCCAGAGUGAAGGUAAUUAUGCUGUUUCGGAUAACUUAGGUUUUGAUCCGUAUUUUUAUUACGGCGAAACAAAUAGUAGAAGUAAAUGUUUACGGUCGAAAAUGACUUCACUCCUCUCCGGUUACGCCCAAACAAACAGGCCCUAAAGUGCAAAGGGGCGCUUAAUAACUUUGGGUCAUUUGGUUCGGCGUAAAAUGAACCGAAAAAUUAUUUUCGGUAUGAAAAAUACUCUUAUUUGGUUCAAUGUAAAAAUAUUUUUUUGUUAAAUUUACAAAUUUGAAAAAAAAUUAAAGUUUUUGUUUUUUUAUUGGUUUUUGGCGAAAAAUAAAAAUUCAAGCCGUAUAAAUUUUUUUCAUUCAUUUUUUCCACUUACUACGUUUGGUUCAACAUAAAACUGUAAAAAUUAAUUUUCUAUGGAAAAAAAUUUUCGGUGGAAAUUUUUUUUUAUAUCUUAUAGUAUUUGAUUCGUAAAAAAAAAGAGAUUUUUCAUCAGCAUUUGUUUAGUUGAAAGGCAAAAAAUUCAUAUCUGUUUGGUUUGGUAAAAAAAAGAAAAAAAAAUUUAUGCAGCUUCAGUUUUCGUUUUUCACUGAAAGACAGCGAAAUACGAAAACUUAAAUUUGUCCCCAAAUCUAAAAAUAUUUUUUUCGAAUCAAACAAGAGAAAAAAUAAUUUUCAUUUCAAAAUUAAUUUUUUGGUUCGUUUUAUGGGAAACUAAAUAAAAGUAGAUUUUUUUUUCUUUGGACCAAUUAUGUGAUGAUAAAAAACUUUUUUUUUCCUAUAAAUCAAAAUUAUAAAGCGUAAAUUUUUUUUCACUAAAAUUAUUUUUUAUGAAAAUUAUUUCUCACUAUUUUACGUGAGCCCUCAGCCAAAGAGUCAAAGUUUAAGAGGUGAUUUAAAAAUUUUCCAUUGUUGAGGGGUCUCCAUACAUUUUUACCUAACAAAAAGACAAAAAGAAGAGGCACGAGAGAGAGAGAAGAGACACAAUUCGAAUUAAAGCUUCUCUCUCUCUCUCUCUUUCUCGCUCUGCAUAAUAAAACCCUCUCACUGAAUCCCCCAUUCCAAUUUUUACAGCGAUUUGGAGCUCCUCGAUUCCCCCCUACUUCUCCUCACAGGUAAUAAAUGUCGUCAAAAUCACUUUUUUUUUUUUCUUCCAAUUUUUUACCCAUUUCCAUCCCCCAGUUUGAUCCAAGCUUUGUUUUUUGUUUUUUUUUCGAAUUUUGAUCCAUUUUGUUUGAUAAAGUUUUGAUUUUGGGGGUUUUUUUGUACUGUAUUCGCUCAUUUCACAAUUUCCCCCCCUUUUUGAUUUACCUCAUGAGGGAAAAAUCCGACCUUUUGAGGUUUUAUGUGCUUACAAAUAUUGGCCUUUUUUUAUUUUAUUUUAUUUUAUUUAUUUUUGUAGCGCUUGUUUUGAUUGAUCUGUUGACAAUGUGGUAUAUUAGGAGUACAUUAAAUGCCCACUUAGUCUCUGAAUGAGUUGAUCCUUGCAUUGAUUUGUAAUAAUUGAUUAUUCCAUGAUGCAAUUAAGCUCCUAUUUGUUGUUGUUAUUAUUAUUACUAUUAUUUUAACACAUAAUGCAGUUCAUUUUCAGAUGCAUUUUCUUAAGAUCAAUAAAAAUAAAAUGUUUGAGUUACUGUGAAAUCAGUUGUUGCUGCUUCAAAUUUCCCAAUUAUCUUUUUGAAACUGCUAAAAAUGUACCAAAAUUGUGGAUCUUCUCUUCUAAAAAGAUUUGUAGGGUAAUAUUUUUUUCAAUUAGACUUAAAAUCUACUGAAUAAAAGACCAUUUCUCUUUGAUUAAAGUUGCACAGGCCAUUUGUCGGCUCGGCGCUUAAAAUGUUCAAAAUUAUCGAGCAUCGACAUUCUUGGAAAGGUCUGCAGUUGCUGUAUUGAUGAUUAAUUCAGUAUACAUCUCUUUAGUUCUAGUUAAGUGCCACCGAAAUGAUCCGAAAGGAUAUUUAAUUAAAUAGUCUAGUUCGAGUCGUAGUUAGUUCUUCGUGGUCUUUCAUCUGAAUCUCAGAUCACUUGAUUGUGUAAGUGUUAUCUCAGCUCUAAAAUAAGGCUUUGCAAACAAUAAAUCUUGUCGAAUCUAAGUUGGACAUCUAGGCGAUCACGCAUGAUAAUGAGAUAUGAGAUAAGGGAGAUCCAAUCAACCUUUUUGUUUGUUUUAGGAAAAUAUUCUCUGAAAUAGUUAUUUGUCAUGUAUUUUGUUGUCUCAUUAUGUAGCCGUCGUAUUGCAAUGCUUUGAUAAUCGUAUUCGAGUCUUUCCAUGAGACCCUUGCCUCAAGGAGUAAGAAUAAAUCAUGGAUUUUCCCUUUCGGCCUUAUUUUGUCACAUAUUUCAUAUUAUGGCCUAAAAUAUUUCUUUAUAAUUUCCAAAUUUAACGAUGAAAAUUUGCGAUAAAUUUCCCUACUCAUUUUGAACAGGGCCCUUUAAUCAUUUCUGCUCCUUAUGGCAUCCGCCACUUUUCUCGAUGAUAUGAGAGCUAGCCCGGAGGUUGUUGAGCCAUGUAAAAAUGAAGAGAUAAUGGAUGUCAGCGAACAUGUCAGUGACCAUAUCCAGCAUUCACCGAAGCCAAAUGUAUCUGUUGCUAGCAGCGUCCGCGAACUUUUAGAUUGUCCUGUCUGCCUGAAUGCUAUGUAUCCCCCCAUUCAUCAGGUAACCUUUUUAUUUUCAAUUUUAUUUUAAGCGACUACAAAUACAAUAAUGAGUUGUUGAAGAACAUCUAUAGGCAAUUUCUUGUUUACGAUCCUAGAAACUAAAGCUGGAUGUAGCAAUUUGGCGUACCGUCGUCUAUAGCAUAUUAAAGUUGGAUUUUUGGUGCAAAUUUAUUAUUAAAAUUAGUUAUUGAAGAAUGAAUAGAUGAGGUUUCUUUGAUUCUCGGCAUAAUUCGAUACGAUUCCUUGGAGAUCUUAACAGGGAAUAGUUGAUAUUUCCAUUUGUCGGGGAAAUUUAAUCCAAAUUGCCAACUUACCAUGCGCCGCAUCUUUGCAGCGUUAUUAAUCUCUUAUUUUUAGAGCCUAGAGAAUGCGACCUGUUUCUCUCUUAUCAUCUGUCUUGGAAAGUUUUUAUUUAAUAAAUUAUCAUCAUAAUCUAAUUUUGCUUACCGUAUGGCAAGAUCCAAGAUUAUGCCACGCCUCGAAAACUUUGUCCUGUUACUGUAAUUCCUAGCCGGGAAACAUUAUCUAACGUUCUCUUUGUGUAUGCAGUGUUCGAACGGCCACACAUUAUGCUCGGGGUGCAAGCCACGAGUUCACAACCGUUGCCCGACUUGUAGGCAUGAGCUUGGCAACAUUAGAUGCCUUGCGUUAGAGAAAGUGGCGGCCUCUCUCGAACUCCCCUGCAAAUACCAGAGUUUUGGGUGUAUGGGUAUAUAUCCUUACUACUGCAAACUGAAGCACGAAUCGCAGUGUCAGUAUCGACCCUACAACUGCCCGUAUGCUGGAUCGGAAUGCACUGUCGUCGGCGACAUUCCGUAUUUAGUGACGCACUUAAAGGAUGAUCAUAAGGUCGACAUGCACAACGGGAGCACCUUUAACCAUCGAUAUGUCAAAGCGAACCCUCAUGAGGUCGAGAAUGCAACAUGGAUGCUAACGGUACUGUUCGAACGCAAUUUUUUUUUUUUUUUGGAUGUUCGCAUAUAUGUUGCUCAAAACACAAGGCCCAUAACCGGAAAAGAAACAAAAAGAAGAGACGGGUUUAAUGUGGUUUGGUCGAACUGAUACUACACUCUUUCAUUUCAGUGGAGUUACAGCUGGAUAAAUAGUUACAAAGGGCCACAUUAAACUAUAAACCCUAAACCCUUAGCAACGUCUGCUUAAGCACUGUCCGCUGAAGCAUCAGAGUAGAUGCUUCAGCGAAAGGCCGUUUUGCCGCAUCCUGUUGCACUGCAUAGCACCAGCGAGCACUAUCAAACUUGCCCUUGGUUAAACAGCACAUCUGCAGAAGCUCCUGCUACGCCGAACAGGAUUUAUAGGUAGACACGAGAGCAAACAUUUUUCCGUGCUUUGUUCAUAAAUUUGUUUGAGACUUAUGCCUCUAGUGCGAGGUGAAGUUCCAAACGGAAAUACGCUAUUGAAAUAAUGCCUGUUAACUACUCUUGCGACACGAGGACACGUGGCGUUACGCAAAUUAUGAUAUGACUAAAUGUUAACCAAGGGAAAAGUCAUGUGGCAUGAUCAAACCUAUCUUUUUGUUAGCUCUUCGCGUUGCGUUCUAUACCAUACAUAUGCAAUUACUAGGUUGUUUACUAUUGGCGAAUAUAAUAUAAACACCGUUUUCUGGUAGCUUAAGCUAUAAGAAAACAACGAUUGUUUCAUAGCAGGAGGUCCCGAGUUCGAAAUCCAUAUCAAAAAGCCUCGAGUCCAGACAUGAGAGGGAGUGUUGAAUAUUAAUAUUAAGAAUGCCAUUCUCCGGUAACUUGAGCUUUUGGAAAACACUGAUUGUUUCAUAUAAUUUAACAAAUAUAACUAAAAUCAAGGAUGUAGUGUACUAAUAUAUCUUACAGUAUCUAGAGUUUUAUCCUUUUUUCGGCUUUUCCUUUUUUCGCUUUCCCAUUUUCUCUCAUAUUUUUCUAAUUGAACCACAGUAAUGAAUGUUGCUUUUAUCAAUACAUAUAUAUAUACAUAGGUUUUCAGCUGUUUCGGCCAAUAUUUUUGCCUCCACUUCGAGGCGUUCCAGCUGGGGAUGGCGCCGGUGUACAUCGCAUUCCUCCGGUUCAUGGGGGACGACGUCGAGGCCAAGAACUACAGCUACAGCCUCGAGGUCGGGGGCAACGGCCGGAAGCUGAUCUGGCAGGGGGUUCCCCGCAGCAUCCGCGACAGCCACCGCAAGGUCCGCGACAGCUUCGACGGCCUCAUCAUCCAGCGGAACAUGGCCUUGUUCUUCUCGGGCGGCGACCGGAAGGAGCUGAAGCUGCGGGUCACCGGGAGGAUCUGGAAGGAGCAAUGAGCGAGCCAACUGCUGCUUCUGCGCGAAGCGCUUUUUCGAAACUUUUAACUGUCAGACUUGAUCAGCAGCUGUAUUCUCUGAAAGUACGAAAAUCUGGGGGUGCUGACUGCGAUGUAUAAACCGAACGGCAAUCUCUCUUUGCUUGAUCUCUUAUGAUUGGUUAUCUAAUCUGCUGGUUAUUUGCAAAGUUAGCUACUAACAACAGCAUGUAAUAUGCAUGUUCUAUGUUUUCCGAUUUCGAUGGUGUUUGAUGUCUUCCCUGCGGGGCUGCAGGCAAAUGAGUUCUUGUUCUGUGAGAACAUGUGCAGACUGCGGACUGCAGACUGUGCUGAGAUGUGUUUGGUUCUUCUUAAACCCCAUUCGAAAGCUUUAUUACCAAACUCUGCUGAUUUUUUUUUUUCUGUGGCUUUCUGCAGCUCAUUGUGUGUUGGUUUAAUUGGGAAAUUUUGUUCAGCAUGAAAAGGCCCUUCUCCCCGACGGCGGUGCUUUAAGAGUCGUGCGGGGCGGAGUUCAUGUUUCGUUGGAUUGUUACAUUUUUUUUUUCUUUUUUUUUUUUGAAACAAAAACGAUCUCAUAAAAUCUCUUGCAUCUCUAUAGUACGCUUUAAGAUUCGUGCAAAAGUGGAGUUUAUAGUUCUGUUGAGUGUAACGUUUUUUUUUUUUCUUUGUAACUCUAGAGAUCUCGUAAAAUGUUUUGCAUCUUGAUAGCAGUGUUUUAAGCAUCGUGCGAAGUGGAGUUCAUAUUUGGAAAAAAUUAAAAUAUCGUGAAUACCUUUUUAUAUAUGAAAAACUUUUAAAAAUAAUUUUUAAAAUACUUUUGAAGAUCAAAAUAACUUGAAUAGAGGAAGUAUAACGGUAAGGACAUUUUUGAAAGAAAGUAUGCAUUUGGAGGGAUAAUUAUGAUAUAAUAAAAUUUGUAAGGGUAAAUUAUGGUAUUUUGGAAAUUUAGAGAGGUAAAUGAAAUUAACCCUUCAUAUUUCAUGGAAUGUAACCUUUUUUUUUUUUUUUUAAAUAAAGGAUCUCAUAAAAUCUCUUGCAUCUUUAUAGUAUGCUUUAAGAGUCGUGCAAAGUGGUGUUUAUAUUUUAAUUGAAUGUAACUUUUAUUUUUUCCCCCCUUUUAGAGAUCUCAUAAAUUCCUUCGCAUCUUGGCAGCAGCGCUUUAAGAUUCGUGCGGAGCGGAGUUCAUAUUUCGCCGAAUGUAACAUUUUUUUUUUUUCCAUUUAAGAUCCCGUAGUUUUUUUUUUUUAUUUUUUUUUUUUGCAUCUUUACAGCACUGCUUUAAGAUUCGUGCAGGAUGAAAAUGUGUAUUUUACUGAAUAUUGCAACAGCUGUUGCCGACCAACUCGUUCUCGCGAUACAUCUCACACCCAAACUCGAUCAGCGACGGUCAAUUUUUUUUUUUUUAUUUUUAUUUUUUAUUCUCUCUCUCUCUCUCUCUCUCUCUUUGAUGCAGUGAUAAAAACAAAGGAUUCAAAUUGAAUCAAAUUCUAACGCAAAAGGGUGUUUGCAAUAGAAGCUAACAGUGCAAGGGAGGAUUUUGUAAUUUAGCCUAAUAUUUAUUUAUUGAGUGUAAAUUUGCAGGAAUACAUUUUAAGAUUCAAAGGAACAAGAAUUGAAACAUUAUAAAACUGUUCUAUUAUAUUCUAAGAGUGUAAACUUGCAAUAAAUACUUGCUCAUAUUCAAACGAAUAAAAAUUAAAGCCUGGUAAGACGGUUCUAUUAUACCCUUUUAGAGUGUAAAUUUGUAACGAAUAUAUUUUAAUAUUCAAAUGAAUAAGGUUAGAAACAUCAUAAGACUGUUCUAUCAUUUGGUUUGUGUAUAAGCAAGAACUGCCUAUUCCAGAAAUAGGUAUAAAUUCAGGUAUAACCAAUAAGGAAUAAUUAACUAGACUAAUUUUGUAUUUGAAUAAAAUUUAGGUUGUUUUCGAAAAUAAGAAAGAUAACAUUUGAAUAGAUAAGAUAGAAAAAGAAGGAUAGUGGGUAUUUAUAAAUAAAAAAUAAUGAUAUUACCUAUCACGCCCUGGAUUACACGUUUUCCGGGCACGCCGACAAAUCCGCCGUAUACAAAAGAAUUUUCUCUGUAUACGAAACGAUAGUUGUAUCUGUAAAACAUAAAAUACUACAAACAGUAGUAUAGAGCUGUAAGAAACAAAACAUAACCUGGUAGUAAAUAAAAGUUCUCUAUACAUACAACAUCUGUACACAAAAGCUCGUCUCGCGAGAAACAGAAAUAACGGUAUGUAUAAGAACUCAAAAAUUACAACUACCUGUAUAAGGUACUUCACUAGCUCUGGCUCGUCUGGUAAGGCUCUAAAUCGCGACGCCCUUUGCACGAUCAAUUUCAGAGGGUGUAGCAGCCGGCACCGAAGGCUCUGCAAAACGAAAAGAAACAACAGGGCGUGAGAACUACUGUGAAAAUAAGUAGUCCUCAGUGGGUGCCGCCCUCAAUAUCAUCGGUCCACCCACUAAGUCUACAAAAAGGAGCUGGAAUAGUAGGAAAGCUGGAACUACAUUUACAGCUAGAUGCCACUACACUAUCAUGCUCUAACUCUAACCAUCUGUGGUGAAUGUAAAUCUUGACCCAAUCUAACCAACGACUGUAAUACACCCGUCCCGCCUGUCGAAGCUACACUAACAACCACCACGCUUGGUAGUUAGUGGAGAGCGAGUCUAACCAAGACACAGUGACACCAACGCAAUAGCACUAGGCUCGACUUCAGAGUGGCACUCGUGGGAGCUAUCCAACCGAGUAUGCAAGCGUAUCUCUGUCGAGCUCAAUCAGGCUCUCACAGGCUAUAGUCAAGUAUAGAGGGUCUAACUGGUCUACCAACCAACAAGUCACGUACCCUCAACACAAUCUGAUGCCAAACGGCAAUCCGGGUCCACCGUUAGUCCCAACGGCACCCAACAGUUCGGAACAGUCUGAACUCUACUGUAAAAAUAGGUUCGGCAUCCCAGCACGAGCGUAAAAGUAAACUACACUACCUGGGGUACCCACCACACUGAUACUGCGGCGAUACAAAAUAAUAACAGCUUCUAGAGCUAAAUUUGGUAGUGUAAACAAGUGACAGGUCCAAAUCGCUGGUUUUCUCCUAUGUCAAGUCCAAAUUCAACAUGUAUAAUUAUUAACAAUUGAUAACAUGCUCCAAAUUCAAUUCAUAUAUCUAAAACAUGCAACAACAUGAAUUUGAGCUAAAACGACAGUAUACACACUAAUUAUACAUGUCGACAACGAGACUGUAGGAGUAGGAAUCCGAUGAUGAACCCACCUCAAAAAGCUUGUCCAACCACGCCGAGCCUCCUUCUUCCUCCUCCUUCUCUGUCGGCGCGCCAAAGCGAGACGACGACGGAGGGAUGCGGACUCGGCCCAAAGCCAGUCGGAGUCGCGGGGGAGGAGCGCGGAGAGGUGGGCGGCGCCGCCGAGCCACGUGGCGAGCUCGGGGUUCUCAGCACGGAGGCGCCCGAGUGGAAGGAGGAAGAAAAAAAAAAAUAAUUGCAACUUUCGCCUAAAAAGUGUAAUUUUUGUCACCCCAAAUGGUGUAAAUUUUACCCAAAUAGUGCAACGUUCGUCUAAAGAAUGCAACUCUCGUCCCAAAGAGUGUAAAUUCUGUCUCAAAUAGUAUAAUUUUUAUAUAAAAUGCAAUUUUUUAAAAUACAAUUGCACUCUUUGAGAUAGAACUGUACUGUUUGGGUGAAAUUUACACAAUUUCUCUUUUUUUUUCUUCCUUCUCCUCCUCCUCCUCCUUCAAUGCUCGCCCUAUACAAGAACCCCAACCAUGGCUCGUCUCAUCUCACCACCCCUGUCGCAGCAUCACUCCCCCACCCACUUGGCCUCAAAAUCCAUGCUUUCUACAGAGCGGCCAUGGGAAGCGGCGGAGGAAAAAUGGCGCUCGCCGUGGUGCUCUUCAUGUUGGGGAGCGUCAAGGUGAGCGCGCGGGCGAGGACGGCGCAGGAGAAGGAGGAGGGGGCUGGCAGUGGGUUUGGCCAUGGCGUGGGUGGCAGUAUUGGUGGCGGGAUUGGGUCGGCGGGGAGGCCGCGGUGCAGCAUGUCGUCGAGCAAGGAGGCGGCGGAGCGGGCCUUUCCGCGGCGGCAGAGGGCCUGGGCAAGGGUGCGGUAGGAGGAAGGGUCGGGGGAGAGGCCGAGGCGGGGGAGGCGGGCUCGUCGCCGGCGACGUCGCCGGAGCGGGCAAGGGCGACGUCACCGGGGCAGGGGCGUGGCGUUUCCGCCUUCGCUGCUCUCUAGGAAGAGAAAGAAAAAAAGAACGAGAGAAAAAAAAAAAAGAGGAGAGAGAAAAAAGUACAAGGGUAUUUUGAUCAGUUUGCUGAAAAUCGGACCGAAUCUGCAAAAACGAAAAAUGUGACCCACUUUUGCAAAAGCCCAAAAUUAGUAAAUUUUUUAUACAAAUUGGCCUAUAACAUAUAACUUAUAUUUAUGUAAUUUAGUUUUACUUUAACUUAUAAUUUUAACAAAGUUUGAAAUUAAACAUUGGAAUAACACUAUUCCACAAAAAUGGUGGAAUAAUAAAUUUCAAGCUAUUCUGUGAAAGCCUGAAAUAGCAAGUUUUGACCGAGAUAAAAUAUUCUGGUAAAAAAUCAUCCCGUUUGGCGGAAUAUCGGAGAUAACUUUUGUUAUAUUAUAGUUUCUAUUGCUUGGGCCCCACCAAAAUUUUUUAAUUUAUUAAGACAGUUGUGUUGGGUGCUUGUGGGGACACUGGUGGUCGAUCAACGACCACUCACUCUCAUUCAAUUUUUAUUUAUUUAUUUAUUUUUUUAUUAAUGGGUUAAGUGGAUGGAUAGUGCCUACACUUGUCAUGAAUUGCGAUUUGGUCCUCCAAUUUUCUCACAUUGAUCCGAUUUAUGCAAAAACUAUCAAAACCUUUCCAAAAGUUUAGAGUCUCAACUCAAAAAUUUUAAAAACCACAACAAAACUUAAGAUAGUAUUUUAUUUCAAAAUAAAUACAAUUAAUUCUUAAUUUAUCCACGGUAAAAUAUACGAAGAACCCCUGAAGUAGAUGGGCCCCUCAACUUUGAAUAUUUUUUCUCCAGAUGAUUUAGCUCAUUUUCAUUUUGCCGCUUUUAAUGGUUUUCUCUCUUUUUUUUUUCACUGUAAAACCUUGCCUUUAAAAUUUGAAGUGUAGUUAAAUAAUAGCACAAUCAAGUCCUUUAUUUAUUAGCCGUCGAAUUUAUCUCAAAUUUUAAUCCAUAUCAUCCAUUGGAUUGCGAUUUUUUCGUGGAUUAAUUACACCAUUUGUUUCCAAUCUUUGCACUGUUUUUUAAUUUGAUCCUAAUCUAUUUUUUUGCAAUCAACUUCCUAAUCUCUUAAUUUCAUUAUAUUUAAAUUUCAGUCAUCAGAAAAGUAUUAAAAUUAACGAAAAAUGGCAUGUCAGUUUCGUGUUAACGCCACGGAAGCGCUGUGUCAACGCCAUGAAGGCGCUAUAUCAGCACUAGCUAAUUAUACAAUUUAAAUGUAAAUUUAUAUUUUGAAUUAAAUUAUAAAUUCAAAGCAAGAUUUUUAAUUUAAGAUUUAAAUUUUAAAUUUAAAUUUUGAUUUUGGAUUCAAAUUUAAAUUCAAAUUCAAAUUCAAAUUUUGUAUUUAAUUUUAAAUUCAAUUCACAUUUUGAAUUCUAAUUCCAAUUUAAUUUCAAACUUUGAUUUUGAAUUUCAAAUUCAAAACAUGAAUUUGAAUUCAAAGUUUAAAUUCAAAUUUAGAAUUGAAAUCAAAUCUUAAAUUCAAAUUUAAAUUUUGAAUUCAAAUUUAAAAUCAAAAUUUUGAAUAUGAUUUUAGAUUUAAAUUCAAAUUUUAAACUUAAAUUUCAGUUUCAAAAUUUUUAUUUUAAAUGCAAAUUGAAAUAUCGAAAUCAAAAUCAAAAUUUUAAGUUUGAAUUCAAAAUUUAGAUUCAAUUUAAAAUUGAAUUUCAAUUUCAGCUUUAAAUCAAAAUUGUAGCUUUAAAUUCAAAUUCAAAAUUCUAAUUUCUGGUUAGUUUAAAAUUUUAAUUUUAAUAUUAAAUUUAAAUUUAAAUUUAAAAUUUUGAAUUUUAUUUUCGGGGACUAAAGAGAAAAAUGUGCAAAAUUUAGAGACCGAAAUUAACAUGCAAAAGAAAGCCAAGUAGGUGUUGACGCAGUGAUUCCGUUAAUUUUUACUCAUUUUUUAACGACUGGGACGUAAUUGUAAUAAUAUCAAAAGAUUAGAGACUUGAUUGCAAAAAAUUGUUUAGGGAUCCAAGUAAAAAAAGUAAAAAAAUAGUGCAAAAAUUGGGGACCAAUGAUCUAACUAACCUAAUUUUUUCUGUCUAAAAUAUUAUUGAUUGAGCCUAAAGUACUAGAUAAAUGAAAAUUGAGUGAUUCAUGAUAUAAAAAAGUACGUUUGUAUUUAAUGCAGAUAAUAAAAUUUUUUUUUUCUCUCGAAAAAAGUUUAACGGCUGGUUUUGGCUUCGUUUGGUUCGGGAUUAAGUAAGAACUAGUUAUUUCACGGAUAGGAUUAAGUUCAGGGUUAAGUUUGGAAUAGACCAAUUUUGUGUUUGGAUAAUAAUUGAGUUGUUUUCGGGAAUAAGAAAAAUAAUGUUUUGAUCGAUAAGAUGGAAUAAGAAGAAUAGUGGGUAGUUAUAAAUAGAAACAACUUUAUAUUUAAAUUUAAAUAUUUAAAUUUUAUAAUUAAAAUUUAAAAUUUAAAAUAUAUAACUUUAAAAAUUAAAAAAUUCAAAAUAAAAAUUAAUUUUUUAAAUCUUAAAUUCAAAAAUUUAAAGUUCUAAAUUUUAAAUUUAAGAUUAAAUUUAAAUUUAAAAAUAUCAAAAAUCAAAUUUUAAAUUUAAAAAAUUAAAAAUAAUAAUUUAAAAUUUAAAAUUAUAAAUAUAAAAUUAUAUGUCUCAAUUUUAAGCUUACGAACUCUCUCUCUCUAUAUAUAUAGAGUUGGGCUAGNUCAACUCUCUCUCUCUAUAUAUAUAGAGUUGGGCUAGAAUAUUAUUGAUAGCAAAAGAUCUUUUUUGCUAUCAAGUUUUUAGUUUUUAGAUCAAUUGUUUUCAUCAUUUCUAACCAUUGGAUCAAAUAUUAUAACCCAGUGGGGACAAUUCAACCCUAAGAGACUAAUACAUCAUAAUCCUAUAAUUUUUCAUUCAAGGUUAAAAACUUGAUAGCAAAAAAAAUCUUUUGCUAUCAAUAGUAUUCCAGCCCCCCUCUCUCUCUCUCUCUCUCUCUCUCUCUCUCUCUCUCUAUAUAUAUAUAUAUAUAUAUACUAGUUAAUGCACGUGCGCUGCACGUAUUAAUUUUCAUGUUAAAUAAAAAAUAUACUAAAUUAUUUUAACAUUAAAUUAAAAAUUUAUGUAUAUAUANUCAAAAUGAACAGUAAAAUUGAACAAUCUUUAAAAUUUGAGGAUAGGACUUUUGAAUUUAAGAUAAAGGAUGCUGAUCUUGAUCUAGAGAGUUUAAAGUAUUUUUUAUCAAAAUUUGAAUAAAUUUAGAUUCUUCUAAAUCGUUAAACUACAAACUCCCCAUAGUAGCCAUAAAAAAUUGAGAAGUUUGAAAUGGUAUGAUUAUAAAGUAAACUAUAUUGAAAAAGUAUAAAAUUAUAUUUUUAAAAAUUUUAAAUAUUCUAGAUCAGUUUUAACGGUGUGGAUGUUGAUUUGAAUACUCUAAGAUCGAAAAUGAGACCAUAGUACAGGAGCUUUGGUACUAUCGACAGUAUACGAGGCUAGCUCUCUCGAUAUAUAUAUAUAUAUAUAUAACGUGAAAUUCAUUAGGAUUCUGAUUUGGAUUGAGUAGCGAACAAAAUAUAUAUUCGAAUCCAAAAAUGACGGAUAUUCGUUCUUUAUACCCAUAUCUGAAAUCAUAUUCGUUUGAUUCAAAUUUGGAUUCUGGUUUGGAUUGAGUAACGGACAAAAUAUAUAUAUAUAUAUAUAUAUAUAUAUAUAUAUCCGAACCCGAAUUGUCAGAUAUUCGUUCUUUAUACCCAUAUCCGAAAUCAUAUUUGUCUAACAUCGAUUAAAUUAAAUCUGUCCUAUUGGGUUCGGAUUUGGAUUCGGGUAAAAUUUGGUGUAUGUGUAACUGUUGACAUCUAAAGGAAACCAAUUGUCUUAUCCACCACCACCAAGAAUCAACCAUCCUUUAACCUCCUCUUUUCCAACUUUUGUCCCUUUCCUUUUCUCAUUGGUGUUGAAGGAAAUGGAAACCCACUAAUCAAAAGAAAAAGAAGAAAUUAAUGUAUUAUUUAUUAUAUUUAUUAUAGGUGGAUAGGGUGGUCAACCCAUCAAAAAGUUUCCCUUCUCUCUUUCAUCAUAUAUUAAUUAAUUGAUUAAUCAAUUGGUUAAUUAAUUAUUAAGAUUCAUGCAGUCAUAUGGGUUGAUCACAUUCCCUUUCCAUGGCCUAUUAGCCAAAGGUAAUCUUUUUUAACACAAUUUAAGGGGGCUUUUAUUUUUGUUUUUGUUAUUGUUGUUGUUGUUGUUGGUUUCAUAAUUUUCUCUUAAAGAAUAUCUUUUUUCUUCUUUCUUUAUUUUUUCUUUUUUUUUUUCUUUUUGUUUUCAGGGAGGGGUUGAGGCAAAUGGAAAAGUGGGUUUGGGAGAGGAGGUUGCUGUGAUUUUGGGCAGAGCAUGUAAAUAAAUGAUUACCCAACAGGAGAAUCAUGAGCUCAACAAAUCCUCCAGGUCCUUUUUUUUUAAAAUUUUUCCCCAUAAUUUUUUGAUGUUUUAUGAAUUUUCUUUUAUUUCAUGUUCAAAUUAGGGUCCACUUUUUGUUGUUUUUGAUUUUUUUUUUUUUUUCCAGUUUGGGGGUAAUGGGUUCCAUUGAAUUGUUGUUGUUGCUGUUAAAUGUAUUUUAUUUGUGUCUACAUAUACUUGGAAGAUAUAAAGUUUCUGAUACAUUGGUGUUUUUCUUAAAAAAAACAAAAAAAAUCAUAUCUUACAAAUAAUUGGGUAUCAAUUGUCCAUGCAAGAGAAAAUUGAAACUUGAUCAUCUGUUACAAUCUACUUGAUUAAUUAUAUCCAUGUAAGAUGAUCACCUGAUGUGUAAAUCAAUAGUUUACUGUAAAUUACAUGGAGCAUAAAUUUUACACAGUCAAGUUUCAAUUUUGUUAUGUUCAGCAAUUCAAUGUAUUGCACUGUAUCAAACAUCAUUUCACAAAAACCAUAGAAUCGAGUUUCCGAUUAAAUUUAUAAGUAGGCUAUUUUUUUCAUCUUUUUUUUUUUUGUGUGUGUAUUAAACCUAUUUUGCAUGCAAUAAUAUAUAGCAUUUGUGGCAACAAACUCAUUCUUUUGUUCUGAAAUUUUAGGCUUUUUUCCACUUUAGUAGUUUGUGGUUUGUUCUGGAUUUAAUAAUAUAUAUGGUUGCAAAUUGCAGGUCCCUCUACUCCACCGCAGAGGUUGGAAAAUUUGUUGACCCAACCAGGUAAUCGAGUUUGCGCCGAUUGUGGCUCUCCAGAUCCAAAAUGGGUGUAAGUAUCUGAUCCUGGGAACUUUACUCGAGCCUUUCGUGUUCAAUAUCCUAUUUGCUAUAAUUCUGUGCAUUUUUGGUUAAUAAUAUGUCGUUCAUAUUCUCUGCACGCAUUUGGUGCUAGGAAAUUGAUUAGAACUACUAUUAAGCAUGAUAUACAUGAGUUCAAGAAUCGAUUUUGAUGCUGAACUGCUAAUUUGGCUUUUGUCGCACUAUAAUGCAAAUGCUUUGGAAACAAUAGAUAAUAAUGUAAGAGUUUCAUGUGUGUGCUGAAAAAGUCACCUGAUCUUAAAAUAUACAGAACUAUAAAUUACCGGUACUGUCGCAAGACGGAGUUCAGAAUCAUCUGAUAAUUGUUUCCCCCAACUUCGCUUCACAAUGCACACAAGGAUUCUCUGAUUUGUGUGAGAAUUGAAUUUUUGGCCAAUGUCUGAAUAAGAAUCUUGGCUUUCGUGUGGAUCAUAACUUAGGGAAUCACUUCCGCCUGACGUGCUGUUUUAUUCUUAUUAUUGAAGAUAUGUUUGAAACUCAUCUUCCUCGAAAACAUAGAGUAAACGAGAAACAAGUUAUUUGGCAUACUGAAUUCUUGUUUUAAGUUGCAAAGCAAAUCCGUAGAUGUAUAGCGUGCAAACUAGUGAUCCAUCUAGCGGCAUGCACAUUCAACUGAAUUUGGGUUUAAUAAUGAAAAAGCAGAAGCGUAAUGAAAUGAGGCCUUAAUAUUUCACUAACUGCCUUUGGAUAGGAAGAUGUUUAUAUUUAUUUUCGCCUUCGAUGUAAACAGAUUUGAGUCUUUUCUUUUAAUGUCGUUUUCUACAUUAAUCUAGUGUAUCUAACAUGCUGAUAUCUGAUGAGCACAAAUCACGAUACUUAGGUCACUUAGUCUUGGUGUAUUUAUCUGUAUCAAGUGUUCUGGAGUGCACAGAAGCCUUGGUGUACAUAUAUCUAAGGUAUGAUCUUAAACUGAACUUUGCGUUUUCGUAUCGACUCAUUCCAUUUGCUCGUUUUGCUAUUAAAUUUUUAACAUCCUUUCUUAUCAGUUAUCACUAAUAGUGAUUUGGUAAAAUGGAGUAUUCUUCAGUAAUCUUUUAGCGUUAACUUUGCAUGUUGUGGGAGUGAAGCGACUCAGUGAACUACACCCAGAAUUCACGUAGUACAUCUUCCAAAAUGUUAAAAUCCUAGUUUGAAUUUGUCGGAACCACUUAAAUUGCCAUUCAAAUUUUCAGUUUCACCUGGUUCUGUUCAAUCCGAAAUUGAAGCUCAUUCACUUAAAAUAAUGUUAUGUAAUGAAAGCAGAUUUACUUAUUGAGAACUUCACGCAGAGAAUCGUGAGCGUAAAAUAAUAUAAAGUCUAUCACUUUUCCCUCCGCAGGUCCUCUCAGUGAAGCUAGAUGAGUGGACAGAUGAACAAGUUGAUUCUUUGACCAACGCGGGCGGUAAUGCCACUGUAAACACGAAAUAUGAGGCCUUUUUGCCUGAAAAUUAUAAGAAACCGCGACCAGAUUCUUCAACGGAGGAACGUGCGGAUUUUAUCAGGUAGGAUUCCGUGGAACCAAACGUGAACUUCUCUGGAAGAUUCUCGCAGAAUCAAGAACAAAGUUAACCUUUUUAUUUUGAUAUUCAGGAGAAAGUAUGAGCUGCAACAUUUUUCGAGCUCCAAUGCAAUUAUACUAUCUACAGCGUAUUCCAAUUUCGCCGCACAAAACAACUGUUACAGCGGUAAAAGUUAUGAGAAACAACACACCGGAAUCCGUCAUGGUCUAGGCCAUGCCUUCAGAAACAGCUGGAGACGAAAGGAGUCAGAGAAUAAGGCCGCGAAGAAGAUGGUAUUGUUUACUUACUAUCUUACUGUACUGUACCACUGAAUUAUCACUGCCUCAAAUAAUUGAAGUUUUUGAAGAAAAGCUAGUUUGACUGGAACUGCUUUUAUUGGAGAUUCUACUUUCGGGUAGAAGAGCUCAUUUUAACUUUCUGCUAUAGCAGAAGCCCAAAAUUUCAUUUUAGCUUCAGGCUUCUGCUUUCUAGAGUAGAAAAGUCACUCCAAAAGUUCGGCCAACCAGGUUCUCAAGUUUGCGUCAGUACUGCACUUCAGAUAUCUUGUUUUCUUUCGUAACAGUAUAAUCAUUGUUUUUUUUUUUUUGUAGAUGGGGAUGGUCGAAUUUGUUGGUUUAGUAAAGGUCAACAUAAUAAGGGGGACCAACUUAGCCGUAAGGGAUGUGAUGACUAGCGAUCCUUACGUUAUCCUCAAUCUCGGACACCAAGUAAGCAAAUAUUUUCACCGAUUAAAUCUAAAUAUAUCGGGGUCGCGAAAUGGUUCAGGCUUUUUUUUUUUUUUCCUCCCUCUGUUCCCUUUGCAGUCGAUGAAAACACGCGUGAUAAAGAGCAAUUUGAAUCCAGUGUGGAACGAAAGGCUAAUGUUAUCGAUCCCAGAUCCCAUCCCGCCGCUGAAGCUGGUGAGAGGAUUCACUUAUCGCAGUUCACUUUUUCAACAGUUUAUGUCGACAUGCUUAUCUUUUGAAAUAAUUUUUGAUUGCUUCUCGUCAUGUUGACUUGUAAGUAAGCAAUUGGUUAUUGCGAUUCCACCUACGAAGCAUCGUAGUUGUUUACAUUGCCAUGUAGUUUUGCAAGUUUUAUUCGAUUUGCAAUAACAUACUGCGUAUUUGAUUUCUUUUGUUUUCGAGACUAUCAGAGAUUGGAUCUGCAGUUCCUCGUUGAUUACGAGAUUUUGUGAAUUCGAUUACAUUUCUUGGUGCAGCAAGUGUACGACAAGGACACGUUCUCGACAGAUGAUCGGAUGGGGGAGGCGGAGAUAGACAUCCAGCCGCUGGUUUUUGCGGCAAAAGCCUACGAGAACUCCUCAGCCUUGGACUCGUUGCAGCUCGGGAGAUGGUUGGCCAGCGACGACAGUAAUCUAGUCAAGGACAGUGUCAUCUCUCUCGUGGACGGCAAGAUCAAGCAGGAAAUCACAUUAAGACUUCAGAAUGUCGAGCGAGGCGAGCUGGAGAUCGAGCUCGAGUGCGUCCCUCUCAGCCAAUGAUCAUCACACGACGAAGUACAAACUUUUCGAAUUACUCAUUGAAUCAAGUAUGCAGUUCACGAAACCGAAGGAGAGUGUUGAUUGAUCAGAUACGUUGUAGCCUCGCAUCGACAUUAAAACUAAUGAGAUGGUUCUCUCUUCUGUUUAUAUUUGCGCCAUUUUCGGAUCACAUAUUUGAUACAGUGGUUAGUUGUCAAUGGUAUUUGAUGAUUCAAAGUGCUUUCGCGGCUAUUUAUGCUGUAAGAGGAAGAAGUGUUCAUGACUCAUUUUAACUGAUGCAGUUUUGAGAGCUCCUUUAAGUUGCUUCAUAGUAUUUGAUUACUCCAUCAAGAAUAUUUAAAUCUACAUACUUAGAAAGAAUUAGAUGGUCCCCUUUUUUUUUUUUUCAUGCUAUUGCAGCUUGAAUUCAUAAUCUUUCACUGCAAUUAAGUCCUCAAACCUUAUGUAAUUCAUUUGUUGGAAGGUUUAAUUAUGCGAUAAGUUGUGUACUUGAAUUAAAUGGGAGACAAUUAAUAAUACUAGAUGCUUAAUAGGACUUUACUCGGAGCUCUUGCUCUGAUGUCAUAUUAAAAGAAUAUGAAACAAUUGUUGUUCUUCAGAAGUUUUAACUAUCAGAUAGCGAUGUUUUUAAUAUUUAUAUUCAACAUUACGUACUGCAAAGUGAGACUUAAUCUGGGAUUAUUGUAUUAACAAGAAACAAUAGACUAUAAGAGGAACAAUUAGCGCAAAUUAACAUGUAGAAUUUAAAGACAAAUAAAUCUUCAUUUUGAAUGUUUACAUACUGUAGUCUACAAUGCUGCUAAUGUGCCAUUUAUUAAUGUACUCUUUCCUGUGUUUGAGUAAACUAAUACUUAAAAUAGGAAAACAACAACAUAUCUUUAUUCUUUUUCUCUUUUCCUAUUUGUGAUCUUCUUUUCCUAUUUGUGAUCUUUACUUCUAAACUGUGCUCUCUUUCUCUCUCUCCUUUUUGGCAAUUCCUACUUCACCCACUUUCCCAGUAGGGGUGGGAACAAGCCGAGCUUGAGCGAGCUUAUCUCGACUGAAGUUUGGCUUGAAAUUAAUUUCGAACCUAAAUUUAGGCUCAAGCUCAGCUUGAAAUUAAUUCGAGCCGAGCUUGAUCGAGCCUAACUUCGAGUUGAAUGAGCUCGAGCAUUAAACGAGCCGCUUAAAAUUCUUAACAUCAUGCAAUUUAUAGUUUAAUUUGUAUAAAAACAUUAUCUAAAAUUUGAUACAAAGAAUGUCUAAUAGUUCAACAAACAUACUAAAUGCAUGAAAUAUGAUAUUAUAGUAGGUGAAAAGGAGAGAGAGCAAUUAAAGUAGGGAUUUGCUGAUUCCUUUUGUGGGCCAGCAAAUAUGCCUAAUAACUUAAACUCUAAAUAUAUAUAAUUAAAAUAUCAAUAUAUAUUAUUAUAUAUAAUUAAUAAAUAUAUAUUUAGAGUCCGACUGGGAUACUAUCGAUAACACCAAGGAUUUAGUACUAUCGAAUUUUCCACCGUUAGAUUUAAUCCUUUGAUUAGUUUUAUCCGUUAGAUUAUAUUAUUAAACCAACCACUCACUCAAUCCUAGGAGGCCCACAUCAUCCUAACCAUACAUUUCUUAAUCCAAGGGCUAAAAAACUAAUAGCACUAAUAGCUUGGUGCUAUUGAUAGUAUUUCAGCCUAACUCUCACUCUCUCUCUCUCUCUCUAUAUAUAUAUAUAGAGAGAGAGUCCGGCUACUAUACUAUUAUGAGUACGAUCCUCCUCGUAUUUAUAAAUUGUUUUCGAUGAUAGAGCUUACGAAUCGACGAUCCACACCGUUAAACAUUAUCUAGAACAUUUGAAACAUCUAAAAAUCAAAUUUCAUAAUUUUUCGACAUAAUUUACCUUACGAUCAAAAGCUCACGAAAUUAACAAUUUUUAACGGCCGGUAUGGAAUACUUGCUAGUUUAACGGUGCAAAAGAAUCCGAAUAGGUUGAAUUUUUGAUAGAAAAUUUUAUUCACUACCUAGAUAAAGAUCAAUAACUCCGAUCUUAAAUUGAAGGAUCCGAUUAUUCAUUUUUAAGACAUCGUUCGAUUUUGACCGUUCAUUUUAUGCCCGCUUGAUGGACUUUAUUAUGAUUUCGAAAAAUUACGAAAUUUAUUUUCUAGAAGUUUCAAAUACUCUAGAUCAUAUUUAAUGGAGUGAAUCGUCGAUUCGGAAGCUCUAUCAUUGAAAACAACUUAUGAGUACGAAGGGCCCAAUACUCAUAAUAGUAUAGUAGCCCUACUAUAUAUAUAUAUAUAUAGAAUUAGGCUAAUUUACUAUUAAUAGUAUCAAGCACUUUAUGCUAUUAAGUUUUCGGCUCUUGGAUGAAGGGAUAUGCAGUUAGGAUGAUAGUGAUCCUCUAGGAUUGAGUAGGUGGUUGAUUGAAUAGUAUGAUCUAAGAAUGUAGAAAUGGUCAAAUGAAUAGAUCUAACGGCAGAAAACUCGAUAGCACCAAGCACUUGAUACUAUUGAUAGCAUCGAAGCUUUUCGAGCCCAAUUCGAGCGAGCCCAGUAAUACUCAAGCUCGACUUGAAAUAUAUUUCGAGUUUUAUUUUCUGUUCAAGCUCGGCUCAUUUAAUUUCAAGUCGAGCUCGAGCGAGCUGAAUAUUGAGCCGAACGCGAAACAGACACGAGCCGGCUCAUUCAUUUGCCAGCCUUACUUUCCACUCUUUGAUGCUUCACCUUCCCAUCUCACCUUCCCAUCUCUAUCUCUGCACGAUGCUUCGUCUUCCACCCACUCACUUUUUAAUUAAUAUAUUCAUAUAAUUCAUUUUCAUCUAAAGAAAUUAUUUAAAAAAAAAAAUAAAAAUAAGAUCUCUUCGUACUCUUUUUUAUCACAUAUUUUUCUUUUUUCUUUCUUGUUCACAAGAAGGGUUCAUUUUUUAUAUUUUUCUUUAUUAUUUUUUUUUUUUAAAUUGUGUAGGUAUUGAAAUUAGGUUACUGCGAUAAAUUUAAAGUCAAUGAGGGAAAAGAAGCGGUGGGUGUGGGGGGAUCCGUACGACAUUGACAUGACCGUAACUAAAGAGAAGCUCGACGCCGACAACGACGGUGAGGUGACGUGGAGAACGCGAAUCGCCUCUUCAAUCUCAGCAGCGUGAUCAAGGUGCGUGUGAACUAAUAAUUUUAUUACUGCUUCUUUCAUUAUUGUUAUGUGUAAUUUAUUUAUUAUUAUAGAUUUUGCAAUAUUUACACAUAUAUGUUUUAUAUUUUUUAUUUAUAUUUAUUGACGCCUUAUGACAAAUUAAAAAAAUUUAAAAUUCUAAUUUUGUCAAUCUUAUAUCUUCUAUAGUAUUAGCCCACCAUAAUACGCGAGUAACUUCACUAGCAUCUUCAUUAAAAAGCAUGAUUCCUCAUGAAACAUCUCAUAUGCAUCCCUUAAAUGCUAUAACAAUAUCUUAAUGACAAUUUGUACAUUCAAUCAACCCACCACCCACAAUUUGUUCAUUCAAUCAACCCACCACCCAAAAUAACAAAGAGAGAGAGAGAGAGAGAGAGAGAGAGAGAGAGAGAGAGAGAGAGAGAGAGAAAGGAGGGGAAAUAAAUGGUGCCAACAUUGAUUGACAUGUUACCAGAAUCAUCAUAGACACUAUAAAAAUAACACAUCCACUUCAACAAAAUACACUGCAUUUGUUUAUUUGAUUAGCUAGCCCCACCACUAAACAUUGCCAACACCAUCAUCAUGUGUUAACUUUACACCUAAUUCACACCACUGGGGAAAAAGAUAGGUUUGCUUUUUUCUUUCUUAUUUUUGUGUAUAUCACUUGUAGCAUCAUCAUAAUCAUUAUGACCAAUGCAUGUUUUGAUGUUCCCAUAAACAAAGAAACAUUUAAGGGACCAAUGCAUGUUUUGAUGUUCCUAUAAACAAAGAAACAAUUAAGGAUUGAGUAAGCAUGCUUUUUCAUAUUAUUCAAAUGUCUUAAUUAUGCUCCAUUUGUUACAUUACAUAUGGUAAAAAAGUACGAUCCGUAAGAAACAUCAUGCUGCAUAUAUCGCAAUGAAUCGGUUAAAAUAUAUAUAUUCUAAUUUUUGCAGUCUCACAAGAAAACAAGUGAUCCUUAAUACUAAAUGAGCAAUUAGAUAUUCAGAGUUUAAAGAUUACCAGGAAAAAUAACCCAUCUUAUAAUAUCAUAAAAAAAGUUUAGCACACCUGGAAUUCACCGUCGCAUAAUUUUAUUUGAGACAUGAUUUUGAUUCUGCUGAAACAAAAUAACCAACAUAAAAUUAAUGGAUUAAUGGUAGGUUACAAAAGGCCAAUAAGAUCACAAACCAACUCAAAAUACAUAUACAAGCCAAAAAUAGAGCAAUAAUCCCUUCAUGUCAUUUGUAACCUAUUGUCAGUGUGUUCUAACAAUAUAACAAAACAAUAACUACAAAAUAAUUGAGCGCAAAUAGUUAUGUGCGACAAAUAAAAGCAGAGGUGGUAAAGUGACUAAAUCAAAAAAAAGGGUGUCUGAGGCUUCUCCUUAAAGCAAUUCUUUGUACAUGAAAAGUAGUGCUAAGUUUAGCCCAUCUUCAAAUUAUCACUACUGAAGGUAAAAUUCUCAAAAAAUAAAAAACAAUUAAGUUGGAACUGAAUUAAAGUGAAUCAGAAAACAACAGUGCAUAUAUAAUACAUGAAACAACAUUGCUCUUUUAAAAGAAAUUCCAUAACAGUGGAUCAGGAAACAUCAAGUUCUCGUGUGAGCCCCUCGCAUGCUAGAAUAACUUGCUCGGCAUAUCUCCUCCCCUUUAUGUUACAAUCUUAAAGUGACUAUGAAGGAAUAAAGCACCCUCAGAAACCAUGAUAAUUAGAAACUCGCAAAGUACUAAAAUAAAACUCUAAUGUUAAAAACAAAAAAGAAAAAGAAAAAAAUAAAGAGAGAAAGAGAAAGAAAGAAAACCAUCCAACACAAGUUAUUACUAUAUAACUUGUUUUGGCAUCAAAGAGGCCCUAAACUUCGAAAUCGAACAUAUGAUCACAGAACUACCUCCUAAAUCCUCGGUCAUCAACAAUCCAACGUGCACCAAUGGAACUUAGAUAAGUCGCAAACCCACUACAGAAUUCAUAGACCAUCUACAUACAAACAAAAUGAAAUAAUGAGAGCAUAUAAUUAUGCAUCAUCGUGCAAAAACUGGAAGUUUCAACACUGCAAAUCAAAACAGCCAUCACCCUCGAAGAAUCCACGAGAAGCAUUUGCGAAACCUUUACUUAUCAUUCAUUUACAUUGGAAUAGUAAAGAUCAAGAGAGCUUGUAAAAUCAGAAUAUAUAGUCAAAUACAUGAAAAUGUCAAUGCCCUCCCACAUGCAUUGAGGAGCGAGAAUAUCUAAAAUAGAAUAUAUAAAGUACAUAAUUUGAUUUCAUGACCAAGUAUGUGAAGAUCAAAAUUUAAGGGGACAAACAAUAAAAAUAAAUAUUUUGAUUUCAUGAUCAAGUAUGCCAAGACAACUUUGAGAGAAAACAUAUAAAAUACGUAUUUUAAUUUCAUGACUAAGUAGGCAGGUAUGUCAAGGUCAAAAUUUAAGGGAAAAAACAUAUAAAAAUAUAGAAUUUGAUUCCAUGACCAAGUACAUCUUCAAUAAACUCGGGCAUUGAUGAAAUUAUCCAUCCAAGAACUGUUGCAUGCUAUAAUAAGUUACGAAAGAUCUAUCAACUGUUCCACCAAUAGGAAUAUAUAGCUUUGACAAUGAAUGAAGUUAACUAAAAUUAAACUAACAGCAUAAGCAACUUGCUUUUCUCUCAGAAGAAGAAACGCGGACCAAAUUGCUUAUACUCAAAGUUUCAUGUAGCCGACAGAAGUAAGACAGAAUAUCUCCAAGGGAAAGAUAAGAGAUAAUAUUAAUUAAAAAAAAAAGCCAGAAAUACCAAAAGGAAAUUCUGAGCAUAUUUCAAAAGUUGUUGGGUUUAUAAACCUUUCAUAUCAGACUGAAAAGCAAAAUGGCAAUUGAAUGCUACAGAUACACAUCAAUAAUGAUAACAAAAGGAUACAAACGCCUCACCUCUAUCAUCCACAAUAUUUAAUCAAUGAAUUGGGAGUCUGGGAUAUGAUUAACUAAAAGCCAAAACUCCGACAAAUGAUCUUCUGUGUUCUAAUAAUGCUUAUAAGUCACAACAAAGAUCCUUUAUGUGCGGUCCCUCACUUUUGCUUCUUCACAUAGAUAAAGAACACCAAACUUACUCCAUUUCCAUGUCAAUUCAUGUUGUUAAAAACCAGUAAACUUCCCAACUAAAAAUUGCAUAAAGAAAACACUUGAUAUCAACAUCAAACAGCUCACACGGGUAACAAAACUUAUCCCCUCAGUCAAUGUAUCUAUCAAAGUUUAACUCUAGGGCGUUAAUUAGGAAGUAGCACCUAUAUAAUUAGAGAUUUUUUCAGUUUUUUGUUUUUAAUGACCCAACUCAUUGCGAAAAAAAUAUUGGACAAAACUUUUACUUCCAUGGCAUCAUUCUAUAACAUCAUUCUAUGCUAGCACCUGAUUUUAUUUCUUUUAAUGCUCAAGUCCUCUGUAUUAGUUCUCUGCAAUUGGUUAUUGUGUAUAUUCUUCUAAUAGAUGAAGAGUGUUCAUGUGCAUCGAUAUUUUGCUGUUCUUAUAAGGAAUUCAAUAAGAGUUUGAUCAUUUGGUGUACAGAGAACUCCUAACAAUGAGUAUUUAGUUAAUCAUCUUCAACCUAGAGCCAUAUUGCCAUAUAACUAAUACCGGAACUUAAUAGUUAUCAGCUAUGCAGGCAAUAAUUGAAGAUGAACAUCGGUUACGACUAAUACCGGAACUCCCGCCUCACAAAAGGAGAUAUGUAUCAUCGUUCCUCGCAGGCUUGAGAAAAGUAUAACAAUAUGAAAUCACCUCGAAGGUAAUCCAAUAGAAAUCCUACUGAAAAGAAGCAACAAUAGAUCAACUAAAUGCUUUAUUCCGGUAAGUCAAAUGCAGCAUUCUCAGCAAAAGCCCAACAUACACCUACUUCAACUAAUCCAACAAUGUUACAACUCGAUAUUACUAAAUUUUGUACCUAUAACCACCUGAAGACCAAUUUAAUUUGUUGAGCAGCAAAAAUCAUUAAAGAUACACCCUAAGCUGUUGCAUGAUUGCAUCCACAAAGCAUGAAAGGAAACACCAUUUUGUCAAGUUAUUCAAUCAAAUCAUGGGAAGAGAAUGUUUAAAGAGAAAUGAAAUAUUCAGAAGAAACAAUCAACUCAAUCUCAAUAUUUACAUUGACAUAGUAAUUACUGUACCGUAUCUUUACACAAGCAAUCUUACACUUUCAUUUUUUGCCAUCACCACACACUAUCAGGGGGGAAAAGAACCCAAAUUGUUCUUUUCUCCUCCUCUCAAUCACCAAAGAAGGUUUUUUUUUUUUUUUUUUUUUUUUUUUUUUCUGUGAUACCAAAUUAAUACACAAAACCACAACAACGCAAUCAACAACCGCUCAAUUACACUCAAAUUAACCCCAAAUCAAAAAAGAAAAAGAUCAAAAAAGGAAAAAAAAUUCCUUGUUUUAAUCAGAAUUCUUGAUUUUGAGGAUCAAUAGGAGCAGCAGUGAGGGCACCGUACCAGGCCGUUCUCGUUGCAGGCGUCGCACCGGCGCAUGCGGCCCUCGGCCUCGUCGAAGAGCUUGCGGCUGCCGCAGCAGCGGGGGCAGGGGGCGAAGCGGACGCCGCCGCACGCGGAGCAGACGUGGGCGGGGUCCUGGCCGUCGGCGCCGCCGAUGAGGCGGCCGCCGACGAAGAGCUGGGGGAUGGAGAAGGGGCGGGAGCGGGCGGCGAGGAGCCCCUGGAGCUCGCGGCGGAAGGCGGCGUCCAUGGAGACGUCGCGCUCGUCGACGGCGACGCGGAAGCCGCGUAGGAUGGCGCGCACGGUGGAGCAGUCCUCGUGGGUGCGGCGGACGCCGCGGAGCGAGGUGGAGUAGAGGACGACGCGGCGGGGCCGGGGGCGGGGGUCGUCGGAGAAGGGGCGGCGGAGUGCCUUCGAGGGGGAGGAGAGGGGCCGGUGCUGAGGGUGGUGGUGGUACGUGAGCGACCGCGUGAAGAAGUAGGGUUUCUUGUUUCCGCCGCCGCCGCAUCCUCCGCCGCCGCCUCCGCCUCCGCCGCCGUCCAUGGAGAGGAUCGCCGGAGGGGUUGGGGUGGUGGAUCGGAGGCGCGGCCCUUCUAGGGUUAGGGUUUGGAGGAGACGAUCGGAGGAGGAGGAGGAGGAGGAGGAGAGAGAGAGAACGUACAACGAACAAAGGGCGCAAAUGGGGGGAUCGCUUUGUUACUCUUAUAUUUUUAUUUUAUUUUAUUUUUUUUAUUUAUAUACUUUAUAGUAUGAAUGCGCGUGCAAUGCACUUUUCGUUUUGUAUUAUGAAAUUGAAAAAAGGGUUAAAUAUAUAGAUGUUUAUGUAAACAUAAUGAAUUACAAAUAUAUUUUUAUAAAAUUUAAUUUUUAUAUAGUAUUUAUGUAAAAAUUCUAAUAUUUUUAAAUAUAUCAUUUUGAUUUGUUACUGUUUGAGAACCGUUUAUAUUUUAACAAUAAAUAAGUAAAAUGUCAAUUUUGCCAUCAUAAAUAUGUCCCUUCAAAAAUUACAACAGUAUAAUAUAAAGAGGGUAAAAAUAUUAGGUUAUCUUAUAAACUAAUCAGGGUUAAAUAUUUAAUCUAUAGUUAACUAAAUUUUUUUAACUGAUUUCAAUGGUAAGGAUAUAUUUGAAAACAUUUAAGACUUUUGUAAGAACAAUAUGUAAAAAUUAAAUUUUAUAGGAAUAUAUUUGUAAUUUACUAUAUUUCUAGAGACCUGUAUGCAAUUAACCCUAAAAAAAUUAAUAAAUAAUAAAUUUAUUUUAUUUUAUUUAAUAUCUAAUUUAAUAGAAAAAUAAAAAGAAUUGCAACAGAUUUAGAUAAAGUCAGUUUAUCUAUUAAUGUUAAAUUAACUAAAGGCUAAAUUGUAGAAAAAUUUUUGACAAAAUCUAUUUUUUGAUUUGACCCCGCUGUUAUUUAAAGACAUACACUUUGGCUUUUUAAAAAAUAAAAAAAUAUCCUUCUUAGCAGCGCCAUCUUCCUGCUCAUAGACGAUGUUGUUAGCCGUGCCCCCUCACCCUCCUCCGCCGCCUCACCCUCGUCCAUCCCUCCGUCCACGCCCACGUCUAUGCCCUCGCCUCCUCCGUCGUCUCACCCUCGCCCACCCUCUGUCCACGCCCAUCCGAUCUAUUCUCACUGCCGUCGAAUGAAGAGGCGGCGUCGGGAGUGCAAGAGGUGCAAAGAGAGCAGGUGGAGUCAGCGAAGUUGGAGUUGGGGUCGAGGGAGGCACAAAGGACAGGUGGAGAAAUUGCGGAUGAACGAGGGUUGGAGAGGAGACGAAGAUGGAGAGGAUAUUUUAGUCAUUUUAUCAAUACAUUUAACACUGUACUCUCUGUGAAUAUUUUUUAUUUUUAAGAAAAUAAAGUGUAGAUUUUUAAAUGACAGACGAGACAAAAGUAAAAAAGUGAAUUUUUACGGGGAUUUCUGUAAUUUAGACUUAACACUGAAAUCUUAGACCUCGUUUGGUAUUAUUGUUAUUUUUUAAAAAUAUUAAUUUUACAUAAUUAGUUAUAAUGAUAGGAGAUAUUUUUAUUUUUAUUGUUACUAUUGAUUAGCUUGUAAUGUAU